GACUGAUGGCAAAACUACAUAUGUAAUAAUCGUAUGCUCUCGUCAUAAAAAAGUGCAUUGGACCAUAACUAAUUGUAACAACCCAGUCCACUAGCAACAAUAACUCGUUGGGUCCAGCAUUGGACCAUGACUAAUUGUAAUGACCGAGCUCACUAGCAACAAUAACUCAUUGGGCCCAAACCAUCAGCCCAAACUGUUUAAACCCAAUUAUUAUUACUAGUGUCUAAGUCUCUUAUAUACCCAAUCACAUCUCCAUUCCUAUUCAAUGUGAGAUUAUUGGGGUGUGACAGACUCCCCCCAUUAAGGUCCUGACGUCCUAAUCAGUCUAAUCACACACACACAGCCGACGAUCACCACGCGAUGUGAGACUCGUCUCGCUAGCCUUGUCAUCCAAACCCUGACAUAGCCGAUCAUCUUGUCUUUCCGACCCUGGCUCAGUCGAGACUCGCCACCAGUUAUUAUUACUAAUGUAUAAGUCUCUUAUAUAUCCAAUCACAUCCUCAUUCCUAUCCGAUGUGGGAUUACUGGGGUGUGACAUUAAAAGUAUUCUAUUAUGCUAUAAGAGUGUAAAAUUGCAACGAAUACAUAUUCACAUUCAAACGAAUAAAAAUUAAAACCUGAUAAGAGUGUUCUAUUAUGCCCUAAGAAUGUUCUAUUACAGCAUAAGGGUGUAAAAUUAUAACGAAUACAUGUUCACAUUCAAAUAAACAAAAAUUAUAACCUAAUAAGAUUAUUCUAUUGUGCCCUAAGAGUGUUCUAUAAUAUUAUAAGAGUGUAAAAUUGCAACGAAUAUAUGUUCGCAUUCAAACAAAUAAAUUAAAACAUGAUAAAAGUGUUUUAUUAUACCCUGAGAGUAUUUUAUUAUGGCAUAAGAGUUUAAAUUACAACGAAUAUAUGUUCGCAUUAAAACAAAUAAAAUUAUAAUCUGAUAAGAGUGUUCUAUUAUACCAUAAGAGUGUUUUACUACGACAUAAGAGUUUAAAAUUACAACGAAUACAUAUUCGCAUUAAAACGAAUAAAAUUAUAACCUGAUAAGAGUGUUCUAUUAUAUCUUAAGAGUGUUUUAUUAUAUUAUAAGAGUAUAAAAUUGUAACGAAUACAUAUUCGCAUUCAAAUGAACAAAAAUUAAAAUAUGAUAAGAGUGUUCUAUUAUAUUCUAAGAGUGUUCUAUUAUGGCAUAAAGGUGUAAAAUUAUAAUGAAUAUAUAUUCGCAUUCAAACGAAUAAAAUUAUAACCUGAUAAAAGUGUUCUAUUAUAUCCUAAGAGUGUAAAAUUACAAUGCAUAUAUAUUCGCAUUAAAAUAAACAAAAAUUAAAACAUGCUAAAAGUGUUCUAUUAUGUCUAAAGAAUGUAAAACUUGAUAAAAGUGCUCUAUUAUGCCCUAAGAGUGUUCUAUUUUGUCAUAAGAGUGUAUAAUUGCAAAACAUGUUCACAUUCAAAUGAACAAAAAUUAAAAUUUGAUAAGAGUGUUCGAUUAUAUCAAAAUAGUAUAAAAUCUGAUAAGAGUGUUCUAUAUUACGGCAUAAGAGUGUAAAAUUACAACGAAUAAUGUUCGCAUUCAAAUGAACAAAAAUUAAAACCUGUGCCCUAAGAGUAUUCUAUUAUGUCAAAAGAGUGUAAAAUUGUAACGAAUAUAUUUUCGCAUUCAAACAAACAAAAACUAAAACCCGAUAAGAGUAUUUUGUUAUGCCCUACGAGUGUAAAUUUGCAACGAAUAAAUAUCCACAUUCAAACAAAUAAAAUUUAAUCAUAUAUGUGAUUAUAAACUAUAUAUGUGUGCGUGACACUAUACUAUACAAGUAGCAAUUCUACAAAUACAAACAAAAUAAUCAUUUAUAGGAGUGUGCAAGCUACAAUGUUCCGUUUCAAGCAGUGUAGCAAAGUAACUACUAAUACCUCAUAGCACCAUUCUACUAAUCCAUAAGAGAAUAUAUUAUUAAUACAUGUUUCCUAUAUAUUUUUUUUAUUCAAACGAACAAAUCUUAAUCAUAUGUGUCAUCUAUAAACCGUAUGUGUAUGUGUAUGACUGUAGUAUACAAGUGAAAAUUUCUAAACCCUCAUCCUAUAUUAUGAAUUAUAUGGAUACAAAUAAAAUAAUAUGUACCAGUAAAUUUGUGUAACACUAUUCUACCAAUCCCUAAAUGAGAGUGUAUAUUUGCACUGAAUACAUGUUUCACAUUCAAACAAACAAAAUUUAAAACAUCACAGUACUGUUAAUUAUGCCGUAAUUAGGUAUAUUUGUAAUGAAUACAUGUUUCCUAUCCUAAACCAAACAAAAUUUAAUGAAAUACGUGAAGUAUAAUUAUGUGACUGUGGAAGCAACUUCUAAAUUCUAAACCCUAAUUCUAACUCUAAAUCCUGAAUUUAUAUAAAUGCAACCAGAAACAAUAUAUACUAGCAGUGUUUUAAAAUUGAGUGAAUCUGCUACUCAGUGACGAAGUUCGCAACACGACAAAGGUGAAUGUGAAGAUGGAACCCUAAACCCUAAAAAUAGAAAUUUUAUAUUAAAUAAAAAAAUUGAAAGAACAAGAUUGUAGAAAUUAAAAGAGUGUCCUGUUUGGGUUGAGUCUCCUGUUUGGGUUAUGGCCAAGAGGUCAGAAAUCGCCCCCAAUUUUGGGCGCCCACGAGCGAAUGAAUGAGUGGCAGGUCCUGGGAUGGACAGGAGAGUGGUUUGGAGCGUCGUACAAGCGAUUGAGAGGUGAGCUCCUAUAAUGAAGAGAUGCAAGGGCGAGAGAGAGUUCUGAGAAGAUUGGAGCAGGAUUUUCUAUAGAGCACAAGAAUGUGUGGAACGAAACAACUGCGACGUAGAGGCGAGCUCCUGCCCGAUGGAGAGAGGCGAGAGCAAGAGAGAUGCGAGAGCGCGAGAGAGAGGCGAGUGCGAGAGAUAGAGAGAGAGGGAAUGCUUGAAACCUGAGAAAAGGGGGUGAGAUUAUACCAGUCUUUAGUGACCAUUUAAUCUCAACCACCAAUUCUUUAGUUGUAGUAUGUACACCCCAAACAGGAGUGUACAGGUAUCUUUUUCUUUUUUUUCCCUACAUAAGUCCUAACGUUUUUAAAUAUACUCCUGCUGUUAUGAUCCAUUAAAAAAAUAUAGUUGACCAUAAGUAAAAUACUUAACCGUGGUUAAUGGAUGAGUUAAAUUGAUCUUUUUAAACCUCUUAUAUUAUUGGGUAAAAUAAUUUUUGGGAGGAUGUCUUUGCAUAGCUCUAGCAGCUGAGACUUUUGGAGAGAUAUAUUUUUAAAAGAAACAAUAUCAUUUCACUUAUCUGCUGUUAAAAAAUAAAUAGUGCUCUAACGGUAACAAACCAAAGGAACAAAUAUAAAUAUCAUUGGAUAUUUUCAGGGAUAAAAAUAAAAAGUUGAACUUUAUAGGAAUAUAUCUGCUAUUCGAUAUAUUUACAAAAAGUUAUGUGCAAUUAACCGAGUCUUAUAAUAUAAGUGUAAGAUUUAUACCUUAGGCUUCCUAUUGCAAAGAUUUUUCCGCUAUAUUAAUUAGUCUUAUCAUUUUUUAAAUUCUAAGACCGACCGUCCCUAGAGCAAGUGGCAAAGGGCUUGGUGGUUAGUACCUGAGACCCAAGUUCGAAUCCUAGUUGAUUCAUAUAUUUUGCUAAGUUUAUUUCUAAAUGAAAUAAACAAAACGGAUAACGUGCUACCUAUCGUCUCCAAAAAAAAAAAAUCACAGCUCAAGAUUUAUGCUUAUAAUAUAAUAAAUAAUAAAACAUAACUUGUGUAAUGUUAGCUUUUUUUUUAUUAGUAAAGAAACACUUGUGCACCUGGUGCAUACAAUAAUUAUUUAUUGACAGGAGCUAAGACGAAUCUUAGUUGCACUUGCCAUGGAGUAGUUGGGACGGCAGCUGUUCUUCCCCGGAAUUUCGUAGGCCGGACGACGGGACACUCCCCCCCCCCCCCCCCCCCCCGGCCUCUUCUCUCUCUCUCUCUCUCUCUCUCUCUCUCUCUCUUCUCGGCCUUUAUGCCGGCCACUGCCCAAUCACCGUCACCCUCCUGCGUAAGAAUUUAUUACGCGCACCCAGCGUAUUCACAUAUCUCACGCACCGUGUAUAAUUUUUGAAGACCUUAAUAAAAUCACAAUCCUAUCCUGUUCAAUAAAUACAGUGCGCAUAAUACAAUAGGAAAAAUAUAUAUAAUAAAUAUAUUCUUUUAAGUCAACUUUGCAUAUACAUUUUUAUAAAAAUUCAGUGAUAUUCAUAUUUGACUCCUGACUUGUUACCGUUAGAAAUAAAUAAAAAAAUAAAAUUUUGUAGGAAUAUAUAUACUACUCGAUAUGUUUAUAUGGAGCCGCAUGCAAUUAAUCCGAAUAUAUAAAAUCCGCUGAGAAUCCUCGUCCAAAAUGUUAGAGGACAUUGUAUGUAUAGAUGUAUGCAGAGUGUACGGAAUGUAAUUGUACACCGGGUGCACGCAAUAAGUUCUCCCCCUUUGGAGCAGUUGGGAGCAGAGAUACAGUUGCCCCUCCCCCCCUCCCACUCAUCCGCCGCCACGUGUCACGCUCCCAUUUCUCCUGUAGAAUACUCUAUACUAGGACUGUACCGGUACUCCUAACUAAUCCCGUACUAAUCGCAGAGAGAAAUUGCGAAUCUCCCUCUCACUCUGCUCCCAUGCCACACAAUUUGUUGCGUCAUUUGGAAUUUUGGUUUCACUGAUUUCUCGCAGCUGCGAUGCUUGACAUGGUCAAGCUGAAGCUCCGCGCCUUCCUCUCCCGCCUCCGCUGGCCCGCCUCCACCCCCCGCUGCCGCCGCCAACGCCGCCCCGCAAAGCCCGCCGUAGUCGUCCGCCAAUUCGGCCGGCCGAACCCCAACAUCGACGACGACGCCGACGACGCCGCAGAAUCAAUGGCUAAGCCCAACACCUCGAAGAGCGCCGUAGUACAACUCCGUCUGGCCACGUUCAACGCCGCCAUGUUCUCCAUGGCGCCCGCCGUCUCGGCAGACCACGACAUCCGGUGCAAGUCGGCCAACGACCGGCCCAAGGGCAUACUGAAGCAGCAGAGCUUGGGGAAGUCGAAGCUGCGGGUGUCGAUCAACCUCCCCGACAACGAGAUCUCCGUCGAGAGGACCAAGCAAUUGAGGGAGAGAGCUCCCUCACAAUGUUAUUACGGCUUCGGUUCCCCGAGAUCGCACUGCGGUGCGGAGCGGAGCAUGCUGGACGUGCUGCGGGAGGUCGGGGCGGACGUCAUCGCGCUGCAGAACGUCAAGGCCGAGGAGGAGAAGGCGAUGCGGCCGCUGUCGGACCUCGCAGAGGGGCUCGGGAUGAAGUUCGUGUUCGCCGAGAGCUGGGCGCCGGAGUACGGCAACGCCAUCCUGUCCAAGUGGCCCAUCAAGCACUGGAUGGUUCAGAAGAUCUUCGACGACACCGAUUUCAGGUGUGUUCAUGCAUGUGCUCUCUCCCUUUUAUUUUUUCCUGUUUUAAUUUGUUCUUCUGAUUGAUGUUGGAAGUAAGAUAUUGUUCAGAGCUCUUUUUAGUGAACUAUUUGAACGGAAUUACUGGUCCUGAUAAGAAGGUUGAUCUUGCCUGAUCUUCUAUUUACUUUUGAGAGCAGUACAGUAUCUACCUUUGUUUAAAGCUUUUCAGAAUUUUAUCAGUUGGCUGGCUAUUAUUGCAUUAUAAAUACGAUACCAAAAUAGCUAUAACACUUCUAUUCAUGUGCACGACGAGAUUAAGCGGACAUAGGAAUUGAACUAAAAACUCUUAAAACUAAAAAAGCACACAGCUCUGAUACCAGACAAUCCAAAAGAAAAAAGUUUUUAGAAGAGCCUUAACAAUUAGCACUAUAGAAUUCGUAAUCAUAAGUCGUGAAUGUAUGAGUAUCCACACAAAAUUCUGAUUUCAGACGCUCUUAGUCGGUACGAUUCUUCAUACUUUAGUCCUGGACAGAUAGGAAAAGAAGGGAAAUUUUCUCCGUGAAAAAGGUGAGCACUUUUUUCCUGGUCGUAUUUAUUCCGUAAGCAUUCAGUGUAAUCAUCUAAUUUUCAAUGGUUCAAGAAAAACCUUUCUCAGAACAGAUCUGUACAUUCAGCUUUAGUAGGCAAAGCACAAUGUUGACAAAAGUGUCUUCUUAGCAAGGAUUAGGUAAGCCAUCCAUGUUUAAAUUGUAGAAUAUUAAGUCUAACUACUAUACUAAUCGAAAAACACAAGUACUAACUACUAUGUCCUGCUCCCACUAAUAAAUCAGCAAUAAUUGAGAAGUUUGUUUACCAGCUCAGGCAUUAAAAAAAAUGUUUCAGAAAUGUUACUCAGAGAAGCUUCUUUUCACAUGCAAAAAGUUUAGGUUCAUUGUCCUGUCAAAGUUAAAAAUUCUAAUUACUGAUAGAAUCUACAUGCUUUCCCUGUUGCUCAUUGGAUCUCUAAAUUCACACAGACACUGUUGAUCUGCAAACAGGAAUGUGUUGAAGGCCACAAUCGAGAUACCGAGAGUGGGGGAAGUGAAUUUCCACUGCACCCAUCUCGACCACCUCGACGAAAACUGGAGAAUGAAGCAGAUAAACUCGAUACUUCGGUCCAGAGACGGGCCGCAUAUCUUAGCCGGAGGACUAAACUCUCUCGACGAGACAGACUACUCGGCAGAAAGGUGGGCGGAUAUCGCCAAGGUGAGUCGGCUUUCUGCCGUUUCCCCUUCGAGUAUCCGAGUAUAUUCGAUUUCACAGUAACUUUUUGUGUGCAUCUUUGUAUUAUAGUACUACGAAGAGAUUGGAAAACCAAAACCGAAGGUGGAGGUUAUGAAGUACCUGAAGGGAAAGCAGUAUGUGGAUGCCAAGCACUUCGCAGGAGAAUGUGAAGCUGUAGUAAUACUUGCUAAAGGCCAAGGUAAGCAAUACCUGCUGUAAACUAAGGUCUCGUGCGGCACCGCUUACUGCUUACGUUAUUCCUGUGUUUGUUAGUUUGAUUGAUCACUCCAAAUGGACGUCGGUUGGAUUGUUUGCAACCUAUACAUGUAUAGAUAUAGACAUAUCCAAUCGUUUGAAAUUUGAGUUUAACAAAAGCAUUUGUAGCAUGGGAUUGAAAGAAAAUAUGUUGUGAUCAUUUUGGUUCUUUCACGUUUAAUGUUCUUUAAUUUCUUUCUGACGACAAAUUGCAGACGUGCAAGGGACAUGCAAGUAUGGGACGAGAGUAGACUACAUAUUGGCGUCGCCAUAUUCGCCAUACAAGUUUGUCCCAGGAUCCUACGGAGUCCUCUCAUCAAAGGGAACUUCAGAUCAUCACAUCGUCAAAGUCGACGUUACUGUCGACAGAGCAGACGACGAAAACGGCGGCAGACGCCGGCGACACCCGAAACAGAGAGUAGUGAAGAUGGAUAAGGCAUCCUCCAGAGGUAUAUGGGGAACUAGCUAAGAAUUGUGGAACUCCUGCCUUUCUUGUUGUUGUUGUUGUUGUUGUUGUUGUUGUUGCGCUGUUUGUAAGAUUCUCCCACAUCUUAUUUUAUGCCCAGUGGUGGGUCUGUGUGUAAUAGAGAGAUAGAGAGAGUGUAUGAUUGCAAGGAUCAGCUAACCAGGGGAGGGAACUGUAUAUUUUUGUUUCCCUUACCGGCUGCUGCAGUUGUUCUUUUACAUUGAGAGAUCGAGAAAAAGCAAUGCAUGAAUUUUUUUGUGAAUGAUCAACCAAAUGAAGGGAUGUAUAUAAUGUUACAUCUGCCUUGUGGCAAUUUAAGUUGGUGGAUCGUAAAAGGCUUGAACGAAGAAUGAGUAUUACCAGUGCGUCUGGUUUGUUCUAUGAAAAAUUAUCAGGAACGAAGGAAUUCCUAAGAAUUUGAUUUCUACUCAUUUUAUUACUAAAUAUGUGACAUUAUAGUGUUUGGUUCGCAUAAUUAUAUUAUUUGAGAUUACUAGAAAUAUAAAAUUAACAUGCUCGUCUUAUCAAUUAAUUUCAAGUAAUGUUACCAGUAAUAUAAACACCUUUUUUUUCAAUACUCACAAGAAAUCUGGUUUUAGGUUAAACUGAAGUAGCUUAGCUUAGAGAGAGAGAGAGAGAGAUUUGAGGCUAAAAGUAGUAAGAGCUGAGAUUAGACAGAGGGGGUUGAGAGAGUUUCCAGGUUAGAAAUAUGGAGAGAUAAAGAAAGAAAGUUAAGCUUACAGAGAGAGCGAGAGAAAUUGGGAGUGAGAGAGAUUUGAGAUUAGAGAGAGAGAGAGAGAGAGAGAGAUCUAGAGAGAGCAUUAGAGAGAGAGUAUAAUUAGAGAAAUUGAGGGGAUAUAAGAAUUGAGCUUUCAUGCUUUUAAAAGUACAAAGUCAUUGAUGCUUGUAAGUUUGUAGCUCUUGGAUUAAGAGAUGUGCGAUUAGGAUGAUAACGGUCCCUAGAGUUGAGUGGGUGGUUGGUUGAAUAAUAUAAUCUAAUAGACAGAAAUGAUCAAAAGAAUAAAUUUAACGAUAAAAAAGUUACAAGCAUCAAGUGCUUGGUUCUUUUAUAAGGACCAUAACUGAACUCAAGAUACAGUUCAUAUUAGUAGAAGAGAUAGAAAAAUAGAGUUAGAGAGAGAAAGAGUGAGUUUAUGUUCAGAGGAAGAUGAAGUUGGAGAGAGAAAAGAGAUGGGAUUAGAGAGACUCAAAACGAGAACAUUGGGUGAUGGAGGCGGAGAGCAAGAAAAAAAUUAGAUUGGAUUAGAAAUUUUAUAAUUACCCUAAUUCAUUAAUACGAGAAUAUUUAGAUUUUUUUUAAAAAAAAAUUGAGAUUAUUAUUUUGACGCAAAUUUCAUUCCUAAAUAUAUCUAAUACUACAAAUCAAAUUACUUGAUACAUUUAAUUGAAUAUCAUCGUAACGUGAACCAAACACACCCUAUAAAUUAUUAUGAAGGUCAAAUUUCUAAAAUCAGAACAUGCAUGACUCCCCUAGCAAAUGGGUGGUUCAAGUCACCCAACUCGACUUGUAUAUAGGGAUGCAAACGGAUCCGGAUUGGUGGAGCUCCUGCCCCGAUCCGUCCCGACGGGGACAGUAAAUGGGAGAAAAUAAACGGAUUCGGAGCAAGAAACGGAAUAAAUUUUAUGAUCCGAGGCGGAUUCGGGACAGAAAAUAGGAGAAAUUUUGACUUGCCCCGAAUCCGCCGCACCAUGAUCCGCCCCGAAUCCGACCCCGAAUCUGCACCGAAAAUCAUUAUAUUUUAGAAAAAUAUUCUUAAAAAAUAAUGUAUUUACAAAAAAAGUUCAAAAUACAAAUAAGUUAGUACUCUCAUUUCUAAUGUAUUUGAAACUUUUAAAUUUUGUUUUGAAUUACGAUUGAUAUUUUUAAUUUUUAUAAUUGAUAUUGUUAAAUUAUAUAAAUAAUAUUAUUAAAAAUUAUUAAUUAUUAAUUCAUAAAAUAUUAAUAAUAUUAUAAUUUUAUAAAAAAUAUUAGUUGGCGGGGUAGAUUCGGGGCGCUGGCGGAAGGCAGGUUACGAGGCUGGAGAAAUUAUAUAAUGUAUUUUUUAACCCGUCACGGAUUCGAGGCUGGAGGCGGGGCUGGAUUUUGCUAGUCGGGGCGGGAGGCAGGGCGGGGCGGGGCUCCCGCCCCCAGAUCCGCCCCGUUUGCAUCCCUACUUGUAUAACAUAUUUAAUUAUUUAAAUUACUUGGACCGUAAAAUACUAGAAAAUUAUUUAAAGCUUGAACAUGACUGAGAUGUAUGCAUAAUUAUGCACUACAAAUAUUUCAUUCACAUGUCUAAAAUUUGGGCUCGACAUAAAAUGGGUCAUUGGUAGGUAGGUCAAAAGCGGACUACAUACGCUGAUCAACAUUGACAUGAAAUAUUGAUAAACAAAUUGAACAGGCCAAACUUAAUUAAUUCAUCAUGAACUCAUGUGGCCCAAGCUCAAAUUCAAACAUUUCAAACAUUGAAAACUCUACUGUUUAAAAUUCAAAUAUAGCUAAGUAUCAAAAUAACCCAAGUACAUGUUCAAUAGAGGCCGCGAAAGAUCUCUACUUCCUAACUGACCAAUGUAUGUACAGUUGUAAUUUCUCAGGUUGGUACAGCGCAAGUCAAAUAGAAUUGUUACAAUCUACAUAUUGCUUAUACCAAUCGAAUACAUGCUGUUAAAUUCUGAGCCAAAUUGUCAGGUUCCAAAUUAUGUUAGGUUACAACUCGCGACAUAUCAAUUAUUGCUAUCUUGUUACAGAUCCUGCACUAAUCCUUCAUAUCUUUCUUCAUUUUCAUACCUAUUUUGCCAAGGACAUUAAACUAUAGAGCCUUGUAGAUUGAGUUUUUCUCUUCUUUUCUUUUUUCUUUCUUUUCCUAGACCUUAAUUUGUAUCAACAUCCUUCAUUUUCAUAUAUAUUUUGCCAAGGACAUUAAACUAUAGAGCCUUGUGGAUUGAGUUUUUCUCUUCUUUUCUUUUUUCUUUCUUUUUCUAUACCUUAAUUUGUAUCAACAUCGAUUUUGUUAACAAGGACAAAACAGCAAAUAAAAAGAUAAAAAGAGCAAUAGCUUAUUAUAAUAUAGCCUAUGGUUGAGGAGUCAUAAGUACAUCUUUUAUUUAUCAUAAUUUUACAACCAGCGAUGGCCUUCAUUAACUAAGAGCUCCAAUAUUAAUCAUUGGAUGAUUUAUAUUUUAAAUAUAAAAACGUACAAAACUUAUCUGAACUAUAAAUCAUUUUGAAUUGAUUAUCCAACCUUUUAAUUUAUUUGGUUUGAACCCGUCUACGCUACUUUGACUUUAAAGUUUAAACACAUUGCUUAUUUAGUGAGUUUAUAGUUGCGAGAAUUGAGCGAAUUAUACUGACUAAAUCUAUAAAAACACAUUAAUUUAAGAUCUAGAACCUAAAAUAUCAUGUUUAUUUAGGUGCACAAGGGGAGUGGUUGAACCACACAGAAAAUUUCCCAAUCCUGGAAUUUCUGCUCAAUUAAAAUUUCCUGCAAACCGAACUGAGAACACCCCUAAGUUAGUUUGAUUUCAGUGGACCUGAAAUAGGACCUCUACAAACCAUAAUAAACAACUAUAAAAUAGUGAUUUGAUCCUACACAUCUCAGCAAUAUAACAUCCAACUUCUGUGUCAUCCGAAAGCGCAUUUCUACAUUUUCCCAUAUCUGAUGCAAUAAUCUCCGACAGAUGCUGUUCAUUCGUUAGUAGGUAGGUAUUCUGAGGCUUAUCAUGCAUCAUUAACCUCUGCCCAAUUACAAAACUCUUCUGUUGGUUUCCAGACUCAAAACUAUUUUGAAGCUUCUUCCCCAAACCACAGAUUCUACAACAAGUUCGUACUCAUAACAUUCCACCCAUUUCUAUCAGUAAUAUCUUCAUACGUAUAUACAUAAAAGGCAUUUUGUGGCAUCUAUCAAAUCUUCAGCUCAACAAUGUAACUCGCACCUAAAAAGUUUAUUGUUAUAUGAGUUACUCCUUAUUACCGUCACCCUUCUUCACGUAGCUGAAAAUUAUCAGUAAAUAGCAUGAGAAAUGCAACAGGCAAAUGUCUAAUGGCUUUUACACAAGACAAAUAAUCAUUGAAUCUUUCAAAUACAUCCAAGCAGGACACACACCGCUCUAUGCCGGUCAACUACGAAUAAUUAUAUUCCAAAUGCGUCCAGAAAUACAGGAUUGAAAUUCAUAUAAUGUAUUGUAAGAAAUGCAAGUCUACAUGCAGAAUUAAGUUCAACAGAUUCACUCAAGAAGAAACAUAACAUACAGACACAGGUUUUUGAAACUCGGGGAAAUAAAUCACAUAAGUUUCUUCUUUUCCAGUAUCAUAAAGUAUCAGAACAUCAAAAUCUACCACAUAUUAAGUACAUCAAACAAAGGAUCAAUUCGAUGCCUCAUAUAAAUCACAAGAGGUGUGUAUCUUUCACAAAGAACUUACCUCUAUCAGUCCAUCAUUUAUUUGCUGACGUAAAUAAGAAAUUUGAUGCUAAUAAGAGGCCCCUGAACCAUUCUAGCAAAAUAUGUCAAGCAGCAGCAGCCUGCAGCAGCUCCUUUUCUGCCCGUUCCCGGAUCCUCCUCUCCAGCUCCGGCCUGAAGUGCCUGAUGAGCCCCUGCACUGGCCACGCAGCGGCAUCCCCUAGAGCACAUAUGGUGUGCCCCUCAAUCUGUUUCGUCACCUCCUGAAGCAUAUCGAUCUCCUCCAAUUUUGCAUUUCCCACCUUCAACCUCUCCAUGAUCAUCCACAGCCACCCCGUCCCCUCCCUGCAUGGCGUGCACUGCCCACAGCUCUCGUGCUUGUAGAAGUACGACAGCCUCGCUAUCGCAUCCACAACGUCAGUCGACUUGUCCAUCACUAUAACCGCCGCAGUUCCCAACCCCGAUUGAACAGCCUUCAAUGCAUCGUAAUCCAUCAAAACAUCAUCGCAUAUGUGCUUCGGUAGGAGAGGAACAGAAGAACCCCCAGGUAUAACAGCAAGCAGGUUAUCCCAUCCUCCUCUCACACCACCGCAGUGCCUCUCUAUCAACUCCUUGAGAGGAAUGCUCAUCUCCUCUUCCACCGUGCAAGGCUUGUUCACGUGACCAGAUACGCAGAACAGCUUUGUCCCUGAGUUGUUCUUCCGACCAAAACUUGCAAACCAUUCGGGGCCCCGCCUAAGGAUAGUGGGAGACACGGCUACAGUUUCCACAUUCGUGACAGUUGUAGGGCAGCCAUAUAGACCGGCAUUAGCCGGGAAAGGUGGCUUAAGCCGCGGCUUCCCUUGUUUGCCUUCAAGGCUCUCCAACAGAGCAGUCUCUUCACCACAGAUAUAAGCACCAGCACCAAAGUGUAUAUGCACAUCAAAGUUGUAUCCGGAUCCACAAGCAUUCUUUCCCAACAGUCCCGCUGCAUAUGCUUCUUUCCUUGCCUUUUCGAGGUUAUGACGCUCAUUAACAUACUCCCCUCUAAUAUAGAUGUAAGCGGCUGUAGCCCUCAUACCAACUCCAGCAAUCAGGCACCCUUCAAGCAGUUUGUGCGGGUCAUGGCGCAUGAUCUCUCUGUCUUUACACGUGCCUGGUUCACUCUCAUCAGCAUUAACGACAAGAUAGGAAGGGCGGCCAUCCGAUACCUUUGGCAUGAAUGACCAUUUGAGACCAGAAGGAAAGCCAGCUCCUCCACGGCCUCGAAGGCCAGAUUUCUUCAUUUCAUUGACGAUCCAAUCAGCUCCCUUCAGCACCAGAUCCUUGGUCCUGUACCAGUCACCUCGCUUCAUUGCACCCUUAAGGAAAGGGUCAUGCAAGCCAUAAAGAUUGGUGAAGAUGCGGUCUUCGUCCGAAAGGCCGCCAAAGUGGGUUUUCUCUACCGGCGGUGGUGGCGGUGGAGCCUGUGGAGUAGUUGCAGUUGUUGUGGCCUGGGUGCUGAAGAACCUAUGAGAAGAACCCAACCUCUCACUGUUAAAAUGACGAACCAAUUGUGCCUUUGGUAGAGACAAAGGGUUCUUGAUAGAUCCCUGCAGAGAUGUAAACAUAUAAAUUCAAUGACUAGCUCCUAUUCUGUUACAUUUUUAACAUUUUACAGCAAGGAUUGAAGUGCUGCCCGUGCCGUACGGCACGGGGGCGUGCCGUCGGUACAGGGGGGGGUCCGAGACCCCCCCUCUGUCUGGCGGCACGCACCUGCGUGCCGCUCGAGACAAAGCAGCACGCAGGUGCAGAGCGGCACGCAGGUGCGUGCCGGCGGCACGUACCAUGCGUGCCGCCAUUUUUUUUUUUUUUCCUUUUGGCUUUUUUUUUUUGGUUUUUUUUUCUUUUGUCCUCUAGGGUUUGGAGCCCCCCCUCCCCCCCUCCCCUCUUGGGCCACCUAUAUUGUCAUUUUUUUCACUUUGUUGUCUUUUUUUCAAUUCUUUUUUUGCUUUUUGGCGGAUACCUUUUUUUUAACUUCUUAUUUAUCAAUAUAGGAGCAAAUUUUUAAUUGACAUAGGCGAUCCACCACAGACAUCCAAUUUUUCUUUCACAAAAAAUUUUGUCAAAAUUUGUCGCACCGCGAAACUUUCGAUAAAUCAAAGGAACAAAAAUCAAUUUCCUAAACAAAUUUUGAUCAGAUAUUUUUAAAAAGAAUAAAAAAACAAAAAAUAUAGAUGUAAUAUUGGGAAUAUAUGAAUUUCUCACAAUACCAGCAAUACUUAUAUCAAUAUUGUCAAAUAAAUCUUGUAUCUGCAGAUAACAAUAUGCCAUAUGAUCCAGCGCGACGAUCUAUGUGGAAUUAAGCAGUCAUCUCUAUGUAAAGAUGUAAAUUUAAAUAAUUAUUAUACUUGUGAAUUUUAUUAUUAUAUUUUAAUUUCAUUCUACAUCAGGUAUAGCUGUACUUUGCUUACAAAAAGUUUUCAUGCAUGUUAAUUGAUGAGUAUAGUAAGGUAUAUAUAGUAAAUAUUCAUAAUUAUUUUGUUUAAAUCUUUCAAAAUAAUAUUAUAAGAGUUUAUUGGAACCAAAAAAACUAAAAUAAGUCCGUGCCAAAACGUGCCGAUAGGAGGUCAUGCGUAUCUAUCGGCACGCAAGCGUGCCACGUGUCGGCACGCAAGCGUGCCUGUGCCGUACCGUGCCAGGGACAUAACGGCACGCCCCCGUGCCACGGCACUUUAAACCUUGUUUUACAGGUUAAUGACAACUAACUAAGUAAUGCACCUAGUAUACAUUGUUGUUCAAAGCAUAAAGAUGUUUCAGAAAUUGAACUGUUGUAGCAUACUUGGAAAAUUAAUGCACUAAAUGAACUAACUGCAUAAUCAUCGGCCAUGACCACUCUUCUUGGAGAAAGGACAUGGAAACCUCUCUGGUGGUCUCCAACAAAUUUAAUACAGUAUUGUGAAGAGUUUGGUAUCUAACUACUGCAGCAAGCACAUCCCUUUAGAAACUAUUUCAUACAAUGGUUAAUAUUUGCAAACGCAGUAUAUGAGAUAGUACAGGAUAUCAAAGAAGAGGAACCAUGAGGCACAGCCAUCAGAUCCAGGACCAACAGCACGGGAAAGCAAGUGUAGUGACAUUAAUUUAGAGCCAACAGGAAGGGGUUCAGCUUUUCAGAGUAGCAAUGGUGGCAAUGUGAUGAAGUUCGAAGGUGGUGUCAAGGUGUUCCAGUAGAAGAAUAGGCCUGAAGAGAUGACUCAAGGCCAGAAACAGUGUGUUGCCAGAACAACGGCUUACUGUUCUCCACAUUAAUCGAAACUUGCUUUGCUCAAAGGCAUAAUUGCCCAUGCCAAAAGUCAUAUGCAUUCACGUCAAUUAUGUCACACUUCGCUGCAUCAUGGUAUUCAUGAUGCAGAAAGUAAGCGAAAGAGGCAGUGUGACGAAUGUGAUACAGGCUACACCCAUCAUGAACAACAUAAUGCAGAUGAAAACAUGGUAAAGCAGUGAUGCCUUAUUCCUCCACAUAUGUUCUAAAAUGAAUUAUUUGUAAAUGGCUCAUCUCUACAAACUUAACAUGAAACACCUUGAAAGAGAGAAACAAAAGAAAAGCUGCAUAGUCCAUGUUUAAGAAAAAUAAGGAAAAGAACAAACCAGGGGAAAAGACAACAAAGCAAUCAUAAUAACGUGAGCACAGUCUGCUUGACUAAGGCUCUGGUACAAAAUUUGAUGUGUGAACAAAGGAGGAAGCCUCAUAAUUCCAUGACAAGCCCUUAGAUUGUUAACAAAGAAAAGAUACCAUCUCGACAGGAUUAUUCACAAAUAACAAGAAUGAUAUAGACUCUCAAGUCUCAAACUAAUAAUGUUGCUACAGGUGCCCUUUGAAUGUACUUGUAGAUUAGGUGCUGUUUAUAGAAAAACACAUACGCAUUGAAAACACCAAUCAAUUAGGCUCAAAAAGAGACUUUACAGCAGCAGCUGAUUGGGAUGAGCAACCAACUGUGAGUUUGAAGAUGAAUUUUUGGAAAACCCUGAUUUUCAAUCUUUCUACCAAACUCAACAGUCAACAAUUAUCUUGAUACAUAGAGUCUCGCAAAUUUCCACAGCUACGAAAGCUUGCUUUAAAGAUUCAGAGAGGAAGAACUGCUAAAAGACUAGAGGAGAGUUACAGAUAGAGAUUAUGGCAUCAUACAUUAAGAACAAACAUAGUUGAGACCAUGACUACUCAAACCAGAGAAUGUAACUUUAAUUCAUCAUAAUUAUAUUGCCACAUAAGCGUACGUUCAAAACCUCAAUCCAAACAGAGGCAACUAGAGCACUAGAUGUCAUCAAAACCCUACUUCCAAAGUUAGAACCACAGUACGACCAUGAUUCUUCUUUCCAUCAAUGGAAUGAAACUCACAUUCACCUAUCCUAGAAUAAGUCUAGGUAUAUCACAAACCAAUUAAGCAAGUUGAAUCUUACAUUUUGAAAUUGAAAAAAUGGAAGAAGUUUCAGUUUAAUUAAACCGGGUUUAAUGUAUGCACCAAUCCCAAAAAAUACUUCACUGACAAGCUAAUAAUUUUCUAGAACUAGACAAGCACAUUUUGGAAUGCCUUAUUCAAGUUAUAUUGCUAGUUUCCUACCGUUAGGCUGUAUUGCUAGGUAGGCUGGAGUCUCAACUGUUUCGCCAUAAUUUCUGCUUGAUUCCUACUUGAGAAAAUCCAUUACAAAGCAAAUUCAUGAUUCCCUAGUACACAAUACAUGACUAGAACAAAAAUUAUGACAAGAUUGUUGCUACCCUAUACUUGACACUAACCCAUCUAAAAUAAGUUAACCCAUCGUAUUCCCUACGAAAUGAUAACUCGUGUUUUCCAAUUACACUUUAAUCAUCAACUCUCCACAGGAUGGCUAUCCAUUUCAGCCUUGCACUUCUAUCUUUAUGACCCGUAAGAAAAAGAAGGUAAGUUGUUGGAGUGAUAAGAGCUCUUGCUGACAAAAAAUUGGAAAGAACUAGUUUAAGAAAAAGCUAAACUAAAAGCGAGAUAAAUCCAUUAAAUCAAUAUCCCUAAAGAGAGAGAAUGAGAGAUGGAUUUUAAAGUGCUCAAGGUUCUGGAGAUCAACAGGAAGCUUAGAAUUCUAUUGCUGUUCCACAUUCAGGAGAUAUAGAUUGCAAAAAUUUAUUAAAUAUCUUGAUGUUAAUUUGUUCUGCAUUUCCCAUUUUCAAGUAUCUGAAACAUCAUAUGUCCACAUCUCUGUAUCAUAGGUUAUCAAGAAUUAUUUCAUGUAAGUUCUUCAUUGAAUAAUUGUAGGUUCUUUUUAUCCUAAUCUAAAUCUCUCUUUUUGAUACAAAAUAUGCAAUGCACAUGAGUGUUUGCUAGUAAUAUGACAGUCUAGAUAGAAUAUGGUGAAGUAGUUACAAAAUGAAAAGGCCAAUCAUCUAUAGCACAUGCAUAAAGAUUAACAGCUAACUAUUUAACUAGAAUGCAAUUAUUGAACCAUUAUUAGCUCUUGUAUUUGUGAAAAAGAUCCGAUAUUCACAUUAAAACGAGUGGUGUUAUUCUUGAUAAGUAGCUCUCUAAAAAUAAUAUAAAUUGUGUCUUGUCCACUCUUGUCCGCUAGGUUCCAAUAAGUUAUAGCGCUUCAAAGAUUUUUCUGUGAUACCCAUAUGAAAGAAAUACUAAAUAAUACAUAUCAGUAUAUAGGAUCCCGACGAAUUUCGUCAAGUUUCUCAGGUUUGUUAAAUUAAACUUAAAUUUUCUAAAAAGUUUAGAAUCAAAAGAAUCACAAUGUCUUCAGUCCUCAAAAGGUGGCAAAAAUGUAUCUUAUUCUUGCUGUACAUAUAUAGCUACAAUCCGCCUUGUGCACAGGAUCUGAAAGAGGGGAAAUUCAAAAAAGAGAGAGACAGAGAGAGAGGGGAAAUAAGAAAGGAAACAAGAAAACAGAUGAUUAACAAGAAGGAAGAAGUCUAUCUUGAUCAUCAUUGGGCUAUAUUCUACAUAUGAUUGUUUUAAUUGCAAAGAUAUCAUACACCAUCUAUUAUCUAGUAGUCUAAAAUCAUCUUCACUAAUUGUUCAGCGGUAUCGUAAAAUUGUAGGAGUCUCUUCCUUAGCUCUAAGAGUCAGGCUCAACCAACAAAUAAAUUCAAAACCAUAUUACGCGGUCCUUACAAGAUCUAAAGUAGAAUCCAAAUGUUAAAGUUUCCACAUCACAAUAACUUUAGAUGUAAAUGAAACGUUAAUAAAGCUAAAGACAUUGACAAGUUAGCAUCCAAGUUAUGCAUUCCAACUUAUGCAUAAGUUAGAGCAAUUGAAACUCUUAUAAUUCUAAAAACAUUCUUCUCAACUUAAAAUAGGUGAUUAAAACUAGAGGAAGAGGUUUCCGGCAACAAGCCUGAACUUCCCACGAACAAAUUUAUGAAAAGAAAGAAAAAUUACUAGCCUCUACGUAUUUUCUGGAUAUAUUUAUGCUAAAAAACGAAAUGCAUUUCAGCCAUUGUCCAAGUCAAUUAGGCAUGACCGAUUAACAAAUGAAAUGUACAUAACAAGAUAAAUAAUGCCUCAAAAGACACUUAGGGCUCAUAAACAAACUAUGGUGGUAUACCCACGAAGCGUUUUUUCUCCUUUGGAGAGAAAAAAAGAAUAGAAGGGGCACCAAUCAAAGAAGUUUAAGGUGGCUAAUAUUUAGAAAGUCCGCAUUUCUUGAUAUCUUUGAAUUGCUCAAUACAUACUGUGCAUACUCAAGCAAAUACUUGCAGACAAGGAGACUAAGCAUCCUGUAAAAUAAAUUAGGCACAUGCUGACAUUUAAACCAGAAUUACAUAAGCUUCCAAUGGACAUUACAGGCAAGUGAAAAUGCAGAUAUGUUUGCCAAGAGAUAUUAAGUAAUCCUAAUAUUAGAGAUACUAAAUAAGCAAUGCUCUGACAAAUUAUAGUACCGGAAGUAAUAUUUCCAUCAAAAACGAAGAUAACCACAAAUUUAUGACAGACAGGAGGAUCGUCUUAUAGCAUUAGCAUAUGGUUAUUAAACAUAGACCAGCACUAAUGGCGGAUAUGCAAGAACAAUGUUGCCAAGUGCUUCUAUACUACUACAGAAACAUGUCUAUCAUCUAAUCUCUAGCCUGAUGUAAUAAAAGAUUAACAAUGACGCAUGCAUGAGAACCCAACUUUAUCCAUGUUAAUUAAGUACAUAUAUAGAACGGUAGAUAUAUAGUUUGCAAGGUGACACCAUUUUGCCAAACGUUGGAAUCAAGUUAGUACAUUCUAUGGAUAAUACACCAUCUCAAUUUUACUUUCCUCAUCCCAAUAAUUGCGGGGAGAAGCAGAAAGUGGCGCAAUAUCCAAAAAGUGUCAGACAUGAAAAGAAACUUUGUUUCUAACAAAAAAUAAAUUAUCUUUUAAGCUUAAGCCCAAGUCCACAGGAUGACAAGUCAUUUCAAUCAAAUCUAAAUUUAGAUUUGUGCAAUAUCUCCGUAAUCAAGAUGGGCUUAUUACAUAUUGACCAAGCAAAUUGUGCCGAUUUGUGGCAAUCAAAUCAUCUUAAUGGUGCAUGUGGCAUCAUUUUCUUUCUUACUAUUCCCAAUGUUUGUUAGGAAAAUCAGAAGAUAGAGCAAAUAUUAGCAAUAUUUCGGAAGUAAAAUCAAAGAUAAUCUAUUUAGUAAAGAUUUCUGCUUCUAUGCCCACUAGGGCAUUAAAUGGGGGGAAAAAUUGCUUGGCAUUAUCUUUUAAUCCUGCUCCAGCAAGUUAUUUCAGUCAGAUCUAAAAAUAAAUUUCUGCAUCCAGCCUCCAUCUUUCAGGUAGUGUUAUCCGUGCAUCUAUAUAUGUUUACAACAUCUUGAACUAGGGCAUACUUAUAUGCAACAUCUCCUUAAUUGAAAUGGAUGGCAUAUUUUAUAUUCUUAUAUAUGUGAACAUAAGAAAUCAUCCUUUUCUACUGGCUACAAUCCUCAAAAUCUCUGAAUAAAUCCAAAAACAUCUGUUUGAUAUCCUCACUCUGCUAUACAAGCACCAGCUUGACAUAUUUGUCAUGUAGAAUUCCGCACCCUGCUGUAAAGUAUCUGCUUCAUAUUCUAGGCAUCCACAGAAAAGAAGAAAAGGUGCAACUCCUAUAGCCCGUUGAAGAUCCAUACUUUCAAUAGAAGCGUUAAUACACAAAAUAGGAAUCACAUACCCACUAUUCUCCCAUUUAUAUUAAUUGACUAAGAAUGUAUAUGGAGACAGGGCUCGUCAAACAAGCUACUGAUACAAACGAAGGUGUUAACUUAGAACAAAGUGGCAAAUUUUCGAGCGAAACGCAAUCUCAAACCGAAUCCAAACGCGUCGGAUACUACAGAUCCCCAAAUACUGCAGCUUCACCGGAACCCGAGAUAUCUAGGGCACUGAUUCCCUACGUCAGAUCGCCGCGAUCGCCAUAAAACCCCCAAAGAAACCUAGCUUCCCAAUUUAACAACCCAAUCGCAAACAACAAAACCGAACCCUAGAUGAAAGCGAAAAAGAUUUAGGGGAUCGGGGCAACGAAUACCUCGUCGAUGAGGGAGGCGUCGUCGGCGGCGACGCCGCGGCGGACGAGGUGAUGGUGCGCGGCGGAGAGCGUCGGCGCCAGUGCCCCGACCCUCGCCCUCGUCAUCAGAUACUUCGCGAGAGCGCUCGCCAUUUCCGGUGAUAGCUUCGAGCGAAAAGGUUUCGUUCUGCUCCGCUGCUCCUGUGCAGUAGUGUUGGAGAGGGGGGGGUGGGGGACGGCGAGACGAACGCAACAGGGCUGGCGACACUCGGGCCAGAAAGAACGUGUGGCACGCGCGCUCGCACGUGACUAGUAGUAGCUCGGCCUGUGAAAAUUAGGCCCAAACUUGAAUUUUGGAGUUAACUUGGACUCAUAUAAGAUCAGCCCAAAACCUAAUUCUCGCCGGUGGUCCGUAACCUUCACCAAUUUAUUUCACUAUGAUACCGUCCCUAGUGCAAGUGGCAAAGAACUUGAAAGUUGGUACCCGAGAUUUCAAGUUUAAAAUUCGGUUGCUUCAUAUUUUCAGCUAAGUUUAUUCCUAAAAACAAUAAACGAAACGGGUAUCAUGCUACCUUUCUCUUCAAAAUAUAUAUAUACAGUCAUGUGCUUUCGAAAGUACGGAGGCCUCCGUGUUUGUAAGUUAUUGUCGAUGAUGGGACAUCCGAUUCAGCGAUCCAUUCUGUUAGACAUGAUCUAUGCUAUUGGAACUAUUUAGAAACCAAAUUUUAUAAUUUUUUGACUUCGUUUGCCUAGUGAACAAGUAACCUCAAAAUGAACGGCUGAAAAUAAAAAUCUCAUAAAAAAAGUGAUAAUGGACUCAAAUUUCAAAUUGAAAGUAUUGUUCUUAAUUACUCUUAUGUUAAGUAGAAUUUUCUAUUAAAUUUUCAUGUAAUUUGGAUACUUUUACACCGUUGAACUUAAAAACGUGUCACAUCGGCCGUUAAAAUAGUUAUUUUUAAAAUCAUAUGAUCGCUUGGUAAAUGAUGUCGAAAAAUUAUAAAUUUUGGUUUCUAGAUAGUUUCAAUAACAUAGAUUAUGCCUAAUGAAGCCGAUAGUCAAAUCGAAUGUCAUAUCAUCAAAAAUAACUUAUAAACACGAAAACCUCUGUACUUUCGAAAGUACGGAAGACGUACUCUAUUAUGAGGCCGUUUAGAUCAGGUAUAAAGGGGGGGAUAAAGGGUUAUCCCCCCUUUAUACCCAAACAAAAAUUAGAUUGGUACAACCCGGUAUGGACUGGGAACAAGUGUUCCCACCCAGGGGUGGGAACAAGCUUGUUCCCAACCCCCCCUUCCCCCGGGUAGAGAGAGAGAGAGAGAUUUAUUUUAAUUUUAAAUUUAAAUUUAUAAAAUUUAUAAUUUUAAAUUUUAAAUAUAUAAUUUAAAAUUAAAUUUUAAAGUUUAAUUUUAAGUUUUUAAAUUUUAAAUUUGUUAUUUUAUAUCUUUGAAAUUUAAAAUUGGUCUUAAAUUUAAAAUUUGAUAUUUAAAAUUAUAAUUUUAAAUUUUAUUUCAAAUUUUAAAAUUUAAAAGUUAAUAUUUUCAAUUUUUAAUUUUAAAUUAUAAGUUUAAAAUUUUAAAUUUUAAAUUCAAUUAUAGGGAUAAUAUCAUUAUUUUCUAUUUAUAAUUAACAACUAUUCCUCUUAUUCUCAAUAACCAUCCAAACGCAAUUUUUUUAGUUCUAGCUUAUACUCACAUUUUCAUCCAAACAAAAAAAAGUACUUUUGUUCUUACAAAACCCAUACUUGUACCUAUCCCCGGUAUAACUAGUUCCUACUAAUUUCCGAACCAAACGGAGAUAUUUAUUUAUUUCACUAUGAUCUCUAAUAUCUUUUCCCAUAUGCACAAUCAUCACAUCGAGCUCAAUCUCAUUACCCUCUCAAUGUUGUCCUACGCGCCUAUAAUCGACCACCUUGAUCUCCAAUGCGACAUAUAUUACCUCUUUUAAAACAUUCGAUAUCCUUAGUGUCAAACUGAACGUGCUAUCAAACUCUUCCAAAAACUUAAAAAAGAUGGCUCUAGAAUUGACAAGAGCUAUCCGACUAUAGCCACUGUCUAUAUGCACAGGUUAAUUAGAAUUGGCAUAGCUUAUUACAUCAAAAUCAAUCAAAAUUUAAAUGGUGGAACUUAAGUACAACAAAAUUUAAGGGUUAGGGAUCUAAUAGCAAAACAAGGAAAAAAAAACUAGGGACCAAAGUAAAAAUACAGAUAACGAUUAGGGACCAAUAUGGCAAUUAGCCCAACCUGAUAUUGCAAGUCGGUUCUUGUACUUCUCUGUUGGACAGUUUAGUUUGCAACACUCACUCACAUUGUAUUUCUCAUUUCUAUUUGUCAAAAAGUUUUAACCUCUUUUACUAAGCUUGUUUACAUAAAAUAUUCAUCGGUUUUGUAUUUUUAUAAAAACAGGCCAUUUAUUUAAACUUUGCAAAUUCGGUCCAAACUUUUAGUAAAUUAGCCAAAAUAACAUUAUUUAUCUGUUCUCCUUUUUUUCGCAUCUUUCUCCUCCCAGUUUGGGGUUUUCUGAAAACUUCGCUAUCAGAAUCCUAAUCGAAAGGCCAUCAUGUUUCAUGACGCUAAGUUGCACUAUUUGAGACCAAACUGCACCAUUUGAAACUAUUUGAGAUUAUGUUUCAUCGUAUAAAAUAAAAAAUACGCUGUUUGAGACUAAGUUGUACUGGUUUAGACUUAAUUUACAUCAUUUAAAAUUAUUUGAGGCUAAGUUGCAAUUUUUGAAUGAUGCAACUUAAGUCUCAAACAUUGUAACUUAGUCUCAACUUAGUUUCAACUUAAUAUCAAACAGUGUAACUUCUAUUAUGUGGUGCAACUUAGUCUCAAAGGUUUUAGAUGGUGCAAGUUUUUUUUUGAGAGAAAUAUAGCUUGCUAUCCGUUUUGUUUAUGUUUAAAUGGUGCAAAUUUGUCUCAAUUAAUACAAUUUAUUUCCAAAUAGUACAAUUUCAUCUCAAAUAGUGUAACUUUAUUUUUUUUUCUUCUCUAUUUUUGGCUUUUUCUGUAGCGGCCAUUAGAUAUGAUGGUCUUCUAGAAAAAGAAUUUUUUUUUUUCUCUUUUGUUUCCUUUUUUCCCAUCAUUUGUAUUUUUUUUUUGCUAUUACUCUCUCUCUCUCUCUCUCUCUCUCGCUUUCUGUCGCCGCCAUCGCCCCCACCUAGAUUCUUUUCUUACAUAUAACACUACACGGGUAUCUUUAUUCUUCGACAAAAUUAUGUGUACACCUACUCACAUUAUCCCCAAAAAUAUUAAAAGAAAAAAAAUCACCUGUAAUGCUAUUUCAAUUGAACAAUUUAUAGAAUUUCAUAUCCUUUUUAUUUACUAAAAUUUUUCUCAAGAGUUUUCUAUAGAAGUCAUUAAAUAGAGGUCUUACAUUUCACAAAUCCAAAAGCCCAAAUUAGCUAGAAAAAAAAAAGUUCUAGCUAUCAAAUCCUCGGAAGCUUUUCACGACCUUUUCUCCAAGGCAAAAAAUCAAAAAAAAUGACAAAAUACCCAAAAUCCUAAUUAAGGUUAAGAGAGAAAGAUGUCCAGAAUGAAAAAGAAGCGAAAAAAAAACCUAAUUGAGGCUAAUUUAAAAAAAAAAAAGAACCUUGAUCGAGAUUUUAUUUAAACAAAAAAAACUCCAAACCUAUAAAGGAGGCUGACAAACUAUUGUUUCCUGGAUGAAAAGAGGCCUUAAGAAGAAAACUUGUUGAAAAUGAAGAGGUUAACGCGCGAUAGUCAUGGAGGUGGAUUGAAAAGGGGAAGAGUGUGGCGAAGGCAUUCGUGCGGCUGAUUGAAGAGGCGCGAUCGUGCGUGGAGAGGCAAAGCAGCGAAGAAAUUGGAAAAAGCAGAAUGAAAUGGGAAAAGGCUAGGGUUUGCUCUGGAGGGAAGUAGAUAUUAAGAGAAAAAAAAAUAAGAGCAAUAUUAAAAAGGCCGCUAGAAAUGUCUAUAUGUUCCCGAUUGCAUUUUUGUCGAGGUUAUUGUGACACCCCAAUAGUCCCACAUCGAAUAAUUAUGACUAGAUGUGGGAGUAUAUAAGCUUGAUUGCGCUAGACAUAAUAACUGGGCUUAAGCAUUUUAGGCUAGUAUUUGGGCCCAAUGAGUUAUUGUUACUAGUGGGUUGGGUCGUUAUAUUUGGUAUUAGAGCCAGUUCACCAGCCGAAAAUGUGAGAUGAGUCUUAGCUGAGUCAGGGUCGGAAUGACAGACUAAGUCACGCUCGGUGAUUGACAUGCUUAACUCUCUUAACCUCUUGGGCCUAAUCACCAUCCAAAAUGCUUAAACCGGAUUAAGAGUUCUAACCCUAUUAUAUCUUAUAUAUAGGACUAUUUUGGGUCUUACAAUCUCCCCAACUUUGAGCCCUGACGUUCUCGUCAGGCUCAAACUCACAAGUACCAGGCGAUGUGAGACUCGUCUCGCUAGCCUUGUCAUUAUGACCCCGGCUCAACCAAAACUCAUCUCACACUUUAAGAGAGUAAAGCGUGCUAGGAUGAGAGUGUUCUAGGAUGGGUGACCCCCUGGGAAGUUGGGGCGUCACAUUUGAUAUUAGAGCCAAUUACCGGGUAUUAGAGCCAAUUACCAGCCGGAAGUAUGUGAUUAGUCUCGGCUGAGCCAGGAUUAUACGGCGGAGAGAGUGAGGCUCUCAUGCUGUUGGAAGUGUAAGAUGAGUCUCGGCUCAGUCAGAAUUAUACAGCGGAGAGACCGAGACUCUCAUGCUGUUGACUAUUGUGGGUAGAGCGCGACUCCUUUACAAGGUCGGUUUAGGCUAGCGAGACGAGUCUCAUAUCGCCUGGUACUUGUGAAUCUGAGCCUGACGAGGACGUCAGGGCUUAAAGGGGGGGAGAUUGUGAGACCCCAGGUAGUCCUAUAUAUGAAAUAUAAUAGGGCUAAUCUCUUAACACGGCUAUAGCAUUUUAGACGGUGGCUAGGUUCAAGAGGUUAAGAGAGUUAAGCGUGUUAGGACUAGAGUAGUUCUAGGAUGGGUGAUCCCCUGGGAAGUUGGGGCGUCACAUUUGGUAUCAGAGCUAAUUACAAGCCGGAAGUGUGAAAUAAGUCUCAGCUGAGCCAGAAUUAUACAGCGGAGAGAACGAGGCUCUCAUGCUGUUGACUGUUGUGGGUAAAGCGCGGCUCCCUUUCAAAGUCGGUUUAGGCUAGCGAGACGAGCCUCACAUCGCCUAAUACUUGUGAGUCUGAGCCUGACGAGGACAUAAGGGCUUAAAAUGAGGGAGAUUGUGAGACCCCAGGUAGUCCUAUAUAUGAAAUAUAAUAGGGCUAAUCUCUUAACCUGACUUAAGCAUUUUGGAUGAUGGCUAGGCCCAAGAGAUUAAGAGAGUUAAGCGUAGUAGGAUUGUAGUAGUCCGAGGAUAGGUGACCUCCUGAAAAGUUGGGGCAUCACAUUUGGUACCCCCUAGGAAGCUGAGGCGUCACAGUUGAUAUCAGAGCCAAUUACCAGCCGAAAGUGUGAGAUGAGUCUCGGCUACGUCAGGAUUAUACAACGGGGAUAGCGAGGCUCUCAUGUUGUUGACUGUUGUAGGUGGGGCGCGGCUCACUACAAGGUCAGUUUAGGCUAGCGAGACGAGUCUCAUAUCACUUGGUACUUGUGAGUCUGAGCCUGAUGAGAACGUCAGGGCUUAAAGGGAGGUAGAUUGUGAGACCCCAAGUAGUCCUACAUAUAAGAUAUAAUAGGGUUAGAACUCUUAACCCGGCUUAAGCAUUUUGGGUAGUGACAAUGCCCAAGAGGUUAAGAGAGUUAAGCGCGUUAGGACGGGAGUAAUACUAGGAUGGGUGACCCCCUGAGAAGUUGGAGCGUCACAGCUGUUGUUAUAAAUGCCGACAAAGCUAUGUUUUCCUACAGUGCUAGUACGGAAACUUAUUUUUGCCAUGGGUUGAUAUGGCGGUUUCGAUUAGGUUGUUUGCAUACUGGAUUGUGCCGAGGGAACAUGGAUAGUGUUUCUAUGAUCUGAUUGAUCAUUUGCAUUGAUUACAGCCUGCAUAAGCCGUAUUGAGCUCAAUAGAGAUAUGGGUUGUAUAUAGAUGCGGGUACCCAUGAAUUACCUGCAAAUUUGCUGGUAUGGAUACUAUUUUUUCUUAUCCAAAAAACUAUGGAUAAAAUGAGUGGGUACCAUUUAAGUUGUGAGUAUUUUAGGUAAUCCGAUGGUACCUGUAUAUAUUUUCUUAAUUAAAAAAUAUAAUCUUUAUGAUAUUGACUACAUAAUCAUGAAAACUUUAUUAAUUUUGUAUUAUGAAAAAUUGGAAUGAUAAAGUAAUUUUAUAUUAUAUAAAUUUAUGUGCUUUAAAAUUUUAUAUUGCUUACUAUGUAUCAUGAUAUUUCAAAUAACAAGUUAUGUCGUACUCUUAAAAAUUAUAUAUAUAUAUAUAUAUAUAUAUAUAUAUAUAUAUAUAUAUAUAUAUAUAUAUAUAUGUUUUGCAUUUGAAAAGUAUAGGAGCUAAAAAGAAAAAAAAAAAAAAAAUCUUGCGAGCAAUCCGCAUACCCACCCGCCAUUGCUCAUGGGCGGGUAUGGGUAAAGAUGUUAACUACUCAAAUAUUUACAAGUAAAUUUUACCCAUGCCUAUAUGACCCGCAGGUAUAAUGACAUGUCUACGGGUUACCCAACCCACCCGUCUACUAGCUCUAGUUGUAUACUUGGUGCGUUCAUGCCCCUUUAGUACCGCUUCGGAAUCUGAUUUUAGCAUUGAUGUUGCAACAGUCAUGGUAGGCAACCUAUAUUUUAAUAGGCCAUUUGCAAAAGUGGUGUCAUGAUAGUAUAUAGACGCAAACUUGAUUGAACUCUCGAGUCGGUCGGUAGGAUUGGGCUAUGAUUGUAAGCAAUCAGUAGUUAAUUGAUGUAUACUAUCUAUACAUAUUAUCUCGAGCAUCUGUAGUAUAGAGGCAUGGAAGCUGUAAAUUUUAUAUAUAUAUAUAGAGUGAGGCUACUAUGCUUCUGGAAGUACGGAGCCUUCCGUGCUUCCAGGUCGUUUUUGAUGUUGUGACUUUCGAAUCGUCGAUCGACUUCGUUAAACUUAAUCUAGAGUUUUUGAAGUACCUAGAAAAUAAAUUUUGCAAUUUUUCGAUAUCAUUUGCCUAGUGAACUAAGGGACUCAAAGUCAACGGCUGAAAAUAAAAAUCUUACAAAACGUGAUAAUAUGACAUUAAAAUAUUAGAUCAAAGAUAUUAAUCUUGUUUUAUAUAGUAUAAAGAAUUUUCUAUCAAAAUUUUACGUGAUUUGGAUAUUUCUAUACCGUUAAACUUGCAAAUGGCUCACCACGGUCAUUAAAAUUAUUAAUUUUGAGUCCCUACGAUCACCAGGCAAAUGAUAUCAAAAAAUCAUAAAAUUAUUUUCUAAGUACGUCAAAUACUCUAGAUCAAGUUUAACGGAGCCGAUCGACGAUUCGAAAGUUGCAACAUCGAAAACGACCUGGAAGCACGGAAGGCUUCGUGCUUCUAUAUAUAUAUAUAUAGUCCGGCUACUAAACUCUUAUAAGUACGAUCACCCUCGUACUCAUAAAUUAUUUUCAAUAAUAUUUAACGGAGUGGAUCGUCAAUUUGGAAGUUCCAUUAUUGAAAAUAACUUAUGAGUACGAAGUGCCCUAUACUCAUAAGAGUAUAGUAGCCCUGUUCGUACUCUAUACUCAUAAGAGUAUAGUAGUUCUAGCAUAUANCACGUCUCGACUCUCCGGGAUCUGCUUUCGGCUGGUUCCAGUCCCUGCGAAAGAAUCAAUGUAUCAGAAAUGACCCUAGAGAAACAAGAAAUCAUGAAGAUGGACGGAUCUAUGGGGAAAUCAACAAAGAGCGAGGUUUGUAUCGGAAGCAAAAUACAGGUGUGAUGAAUGAAAGAUGAGACGGAAAAAAUCAGAAUCCGGAUGUGUUUAAAAGAAACCAGAUACUGAAACAAUGGAGUCACAAAUUCAGUUUUCUUUUUAGGCUAAAUUACAUAAAACCUUCCUAUCAAAACCCGAUUUUUUACUUUCCCUCCCUGUCAUUUAAAAACCCAUACUUUGCCCCCUUAUAAAAUAAAAAAUGUUCACUUCACCCCAUGCCGUUAGUAAUCCGUUAGGAUUCCGUUUAUAAAAUAUUAUUAUAUUUUUUUUUAUGCCAAAAAUGCUCUCAACGUACUCUCCUGUGAACAUGGUGAGGGGCAAAAUGGUCAUUUUACUAUCACAGUUCACACCGUACCCCCUAUGAGCAUUUUUCAUUUUAUAAGGAGGCAAAGUGUAGAUUUUUAAAUGACAGGAGGGGAAGUGAAAAAUCGGAUUUUGAUACGGGGGUUUUUUGUAAUUUAGCAUUCUUUUUAUGCUACCUACAAGGAACAAUUCGAUUGCUUUUAGUGGCUCCCUGAAAGAGAGGCUUUCGGUUUCUCACGUUUUCGUCCGCGUAAUAAAAGUGAAUUAAGCCAGUUUAUUACUGCCGACUUUCAAUGUUUAGUAGUUUAAAAAUAGCUUCUGCCAAUAUAUAUAUAUAUAUAUAUAUAUAUAUAUAUGGUUGAUUAUCUCUUUUCUUUCUUACCUCUAUUAGAUCUAAUGAGUAGGUCAUUAUCGUCGAUGAUAGAGCUCUUCACACCUGUCGCUGCUUCUGAUCGAGGUAUGAGAUUAGGAAAUGGAUAACAUCUCCUAUCCGAGUUGGACGUAUAUUGAAGAACUCAAUAGCACUAGGCAUAUCGGGACCAGUGAUGCCAGCUUUAUUGUAUCUUUUACUUUUUGUUAUCUGAGAGGUGGCGGGUGUUCGUUUUGGGAUACUUUCUGUCAUUUAUGUACAGUGACCUUUUAGUUUAGUUUAUUUUAAUUAUUUCAGCUUUGCUAUCUACAAUAGUAGAUUUUUAGUCAUAUUUUGCAAGUUUAGACGCUUUGUGUAUAUGACGGAUCUGUUAACAUGACCGAGUUUCUGUCAUAAUCCGGAGCAUGAUAAAAAUUUUUAAUUAUGAAAAAUAAUCCUAAUUUUCAAUAGUUUGAUAGUUGAGCAAAUGUUAUUGAGUCCUCCGUAUACCAUUCCAUAAUUUCAUAUGGUAUUCCUCUGUGCCAACUCCUAGGAGGUUCCCUGAUCACCAUCCAUAAAUACAAAUUGCACAUAUUCUAUUCUUAAAUGCCAAAACUAAUUAAAUUCAUGCCGAGCACGUCUAUGUCUCCAUACUCUUAUCAAAUUUCAAGUUUCGUCUAAAACUAAGUCAAUUUUUUAGACAAAUAGCAAUCUUUAACAUAUUAGUUCGUUGCAAGAUAUACGCUCCUAAACUUGGUUGAUAUGGUUUUUUUUAGGAUAAUUAUUUAUAUAUCUCUCAAAGUUUUUUAAAUUUUUUAUAUAUUCCUACCUUUUUUUUUUAUCAAAUAUACCUUUCGUGUAUUUCUCCGUUGUUCUGUUAGUACCCGUUAAGUCAUCUCGGUUUUAAAAAAAAUCAAAAUACUCCUAUUGUUCCUAACUUAAGGACAAAUAAGAAAACUUAGUAACGGUAUAACGAUAUAUUUGAAAGAAUAAAAAGUCAAAAACUAUGUAGAGAUAUAUUUGAAAUGACAUAAUAAUAAUUUUUACAGUGAUAAAUCCUAAUAAUUCACCAACAGAAUUUAACUCCGUUGGUAGCCGAGUUUUCCGACCCUUGAUCCAGUCAAAGAUCCUCCUCGAGGAGUGUGUCGGGGUGAGGAACGGCUGCGGAUAGUGACCCUCGAAGUUUGCGCCCUUCGACUGGAUCAAGCGAUUCGGCUGACGAGGGAUCGAGCUAGCCGAAUUCGAAAACCACUAUUUUCUAUUCGGUUCGGUUGGAAUGAGCCGAAUGUACAGCACAUGCCAGAAACUAGGCUGGGAGAAGAGCCGAAUGGCUAAAGCAACACGAGACUUUGUCAGCUUGAGGAGCCGAAAGACUUUCUAUUGAUUGACUGAUGGGAAGUAUAAGGACGGAUAUGUAGUUUACAACGGAGUGAUGCCCAUGGGGCAGACAGAUUCCAGGAUUCUACUCUAGCGAACUACUCUUAGAGAAAAACAGUAAAAUUACAAGUAGACUACUAUUAGAAAAUGAGGAAUACUUCAAUACUCCGUAUAAAUCUUGACCAUUUAUUUUUCUUAAUAGAUGGUUUAGAUUUAAUAUGAUUAUAGAGGUGACCUGCUAUUGAAGCAUAGGUACCAUUCAUCAGGUACCCAUUUAAAGUGUAUUUUAGUCUUUGUAAAAUAGUUUGGUCCACAAAAUCGAUUUUAUCCAACUAAGAAUAUUGUGACCCUCUUAAAUACCUACAACAAUAGUUGAAUUUUAAAUUACAACCAAACUGUAAAUUUAAAUUCAAAACAACAUUUAAAACUUUAUAAAUCAAAUUUAAUUUUUUUGAAUAUAAAACAUAAAUUUAAAAUAAAACUUUUUGUUCCAAUUUAAAAUUUCAAUUUAAAUCAAAAAUUAAAAUUUGGCUUUAAGAUUAAACGUUCAAUUUAGAUUCAAAUUUAAAAGUUUAAUAUACAUUUCAAAAUUAAAAUUUUACAUUACAAUACUAAUUUCAAAAAUUAAAUUUAAAUUCAAUAUUUUUUUGAGAUGAAUACUUAAUAAAUUGGGUAUCAUCUAAUUUGGUAAGUUAUCAAAGUAAACAAGAUAUUUAAUAUUUAAAGAAUACUGACAAAUUUGGUAUAUACUAAUUUUUUUUCAAUAUUGUAAUGUUAAUUAAUUCAAAUCGGUAACAUGUUCAAUAGGUUACUUCAUAUAAAUCCCAACUAUACUCUUUACUAAUUAAGGAAUUAAAUUUUAAUACUUAUGGUGUAUUGAAGCAUUCCUCCUAGAAAAUAAGGAAAUUACGAGAAAAUAAGAGUGGUCUUUUGUUCACAGGGAAGGACCUCUUUUCAAAGUAUCGUUGACCUAUUUAUAGGACCGCCCCUGGUUCACUUAUUACAUGAUCGGCCACUACCUCCUAAAAUUCCGGACCAACUUCAGCCGAUCGAACCGCUCGCAACUGCUUGCGGUUACUGUAACUUCCUAUUUGCGCGACAAUUUUCUUCUUUAGAACUUUUUCGGUGCUCCUGGUGCACGGCCAAAUUAAUGCCUUUGAAAGGAAUUUCGGCCUACCACCCGUCCGCGCCUAAUUGGCUCAACAAACUCUAUAAUAUAUAUUUGAAAUAACUUCGGAAUGUUAAAAGAAUAUUUAUUAUAUUAGCCUUCUAAGGAGUAAACAAGACAAUCUGAAAUUUUUCAGAAUUAAAUAAGCAAUUGCCUUUUUUUUUUCCUUUUUUUUGUUAUUUUUUCUUAAUUUUGGUUAUCUAUAUCUAGUGUUUAGCUAGCAGUGGUGGGUAGUUGAUAUUAACAAUUGAAUGCUGAAUUGCUGGAACUUUAAAUUAUUCAGAAGUACUGUGUUUAUUAACAAAUUAAUUAUCUAUUACAACCUAUUUCAUCGGUGGUUUAUCUUGGAUGAUAAGGAGACGUUGUAGCGACGCAAAGAUUAGAAAACAACAAAAAGAUUAGAAAAAAUUUCAAAUACCACUCAUGUGGUUGCGCACUUUCUCAUUUUAGUACCCUAUGAUUUAAAGUGUAUAUAUCAUCAUUUUCAUACUUGUGAUUUUAUUUUUCUCUUUUUGUUAUCCUUUGCACUAAUAUUUUUUGUUGAAUCAGUGACAAAGGUAAAACUAAAAGGUACUAAAGUGAAUAUUUGAUAAACUAUAGGUGAGAUAUCUGAAAUUUUUUGUAUAUGAUUUAACGGAAAGUUAGCGGAGGGGUUGACAAAAAGAGAAAAAUAAAAUCAUAGGGUACUAAAUUGAUACACUUUAAAUCAUAUAAUACUGAAGUGAGAAAGUACGAAACCACAGUGGUGAUAUCUGAAGUUUACCAAAAAGAUCAAUUAGAGCUACAGGCGACCUUCUAAUUUUUCCGGUAACAUUAUUCUCAAAUCCAACUUGGAUUACAUAACUCUAGCUUCAUUUCGAGCAACUGGUUGUUGACCUUACAAAGAAACUAUUUUAAUGCCAUUUCUUAUAAAGAUAUCAACUUGACAUGCUCCUCAUUAUAGUAUCCAAUCUUUCUCUACAUAUUUAGACAUUUUCCUACUCAAGCUUAGUUUGGUCAAACCUCGCUAGCUCUUCGUAACAUACGAAUAUGUUGAUGAUGAACAAUUGAAGACAUUUUAGAGAGUCGAAGAACAAGAAUUCUUUCAGAGGGUGCGAGUUGAUGGAAAAAAGACUUAUCUUUAGAUUUGGCGAUAGGAGCUGCAGAUUGACUCGAGAUGGGUGUUGGCUCUUCUUCUUCCUCACUCAUGUUGUUCGAAUUCUGGUCACGUUGGCACACACCGACCCUCAAGAUGGUAAAUUAAUUUGACUUGCCUAUCUAUUUUACGUACGGUUUUUUCUUUUUUUAAAAAAAAAUUAUAUAUUUCGGCAUGCAAGAGCAAUGCUGCGUUUACAAUCUAGAAAAGUUUGUAAUUCUACUACUCCAUUAAAAGGAAUGAGUAAUCUUUAGUUUUAGCCUUUGAAUGAGAGAUUGUUGUGUUACAACUUCUUGGUUUUCUCUUUUCACAAUUGUUUUUUUUUUUUUUUUGAGAGAUAGGUAGCACGCUACUCGCUUCGUUUAUUUCAUUUAGAAAUAAACUUAGCUGGAAAUGUGAAUCAAUUAGGAUUCGAACUUGGGUCUCGGGUACCAACCACCAAGCCCUUUGCCACUUGCUCCAAGGACGGUCGGUCUCUUUUCACAAUUGUUGCGAGCAUAUUAUUGAGUGUUUGAAUUAGUGUUUCUUGAAUUUUGUCGUGAACUAUGGAGAGAACCACAAGCUGUUAGUGAUGAAUGAAAGUCAUGUAGAAACAUUAGAUGUCGAUAAAAAUAGGCUCUUUUUUUUUUUAUUUAGCCCCUUCAAAACAAAUUUCUUUUAUGAAUGACCCUAAUAAAUUUAUAUGUGCAUAUAUGACUUUUUUCUUACCACGCGAGUGUCACGUUGGUAAUUUUAAUUUGAAUACGGCGAUUGAAUCACCGUAUUCAUAUUCAUACUUUAGUGUCUUUUUUAACUUAUAGGCAAUAAAAAAUAUAAAAAGAAACACGUGAUUCAAUCACCGUGUUCAACUUAAAAACACCACCUAAGCACUCGCAUGGUAAGAAAAGGAUUAUUUAUAUAAAUAUAAAUUUAUUAGAGUUAUUUGUAAAAAAAAAAAAAAAAACUGAGGGGGCUAAAUAUAAAAAAAGUCCAUAAAAAUAUGCUGAGAUUAUGUUAAAAUAAUGCCCUCUCAAACUUUGGCUGCUUAGGCUAAAUUGGCUAUGUUUUAAAAUUUAACGGCUUAAUCAAAUCGAAUAAAUGGAAAGUUUAUGUGAAUUUUCAUUUUUUGCCUAAACUUUUUUAGAUUAAGAGAGUAUAGCAUUUCUUUUUGCUCUUAACAUGGCCCCCAAAACAUGGGCUGAUCCAUAGCCUGGACCCGGCCCACGCUCGUUAACAUAAGCGUGUAUCAAAUCAAUUCAAUUAAUAAGCUUUAUGAAGAAUUUAAUAAAGAAUAAUAAUAUCAUAGAUUCGCAUUGAAAUGAUAUAGAAGAAAAAAAAGUUAUUUUUGCAAGGUAAAAAUUUUGAAAUAAAUAUUUUUAUUUUCAUCUUAAAAUAAAAAGCAAAGCUAGAAUAUUUUUAGAAGCAAUUACAUGCUAUUUCUCGUGGUGAUGAAACAUUCGAUUGAUUAUUGUCGCAAUUAAAUGUAAUUUAGAUUAUUUAUAUUUUUUAAAUCUUAGAAUUUAUAAAUUUUUGAUAUUAUUUAUUUAAUAGGUAAAAACUGUGUAUAACUUAUUUGAACUACAGACCAUUUUGAGUCGGCUAUUUAACCUUUCAAACUUUUAAUUUUACUAUAUAAUCUUUCAAUUUGAAUUUUAAUUUUACUAUAUAAUCUCUCAAUUUGUUUGAUUGAGUUAGUCAACAAUGCUUUAACUUUAAAAUUUUAAUGUGUUAUUUAUUUCUACAAGUUUAGUUAGCAUAUUUUAUAUAAUUUUUGCAGUUAUAAAUUCAUUAAAAUAAGUAAUUAACUUAAAUUUUAAAGUCAAAAUACCGUUGAUUCACUCAAAUUCAAACAAAUUGAAAGACUGGGUAGUAAAUCAAAGUUUUGAAAGAUUGGAUAGCCUUACUCAAAAUGGUUUAUAGUUUAAAUAAGUUAUGUAUAUUUUUAUCUAUUUUGAUAGCUAUUUAGGGUCAAUUUCAUUCAUACCCCUGUAAAAAUAAAAAUAUCAUAAAUAUCCUUAUAAAUUUUUUAUUAUCNGCUCUUAUUCUCUCUCUCUCUCUCUCUCUCUCUCUCUCUCUCUCUCUCUCUCUUAUUUUUACUUUACUUAAGGUUAAGAUUAAAAAUAAGUAAGGAUUGAAAUGUCUAGUUUACCCUUGACUAUUACAAAUUUUUAGAAGGGCAAAAGCAUGGGCUUCAAAAUAAAAAGAAUUUCAAAACUAUCCCUCACUUUUUAAUUCUUCUUUGUUUAUAUAAAGGUGUACAUUUUAAUAAAUAGUUUGGAUAAAUAUAUUAAUAUUUAAUUUAGAUCAGUCAAAUAUUUAACAAAUUUUAUUAAUAUCUUUUUUAUGAUGUAUAUUGGGCAAGUUAGCUUGGAUGCUUAUGUUAGUUCAAAUAGUUAAGUUUAUAUUAUGCAAACUUUUACUCAGUUUUGGAUUACAAACCGUUCAAAUUAAUAAUUUUAGAUUAACUUAAAUAUUAUAGAAUCUUUUAGUUCAAUAUUUUCAGAUUAAUCUAGAUUUCAGGUAUUGUUUUUUAGUUCAAUUUAUUUUAGAAUGCAAAAGUUUAAAUUUAUAAAAGCUUGUUUACAUGCUAGUUUGUAACGCUACUCCAAAAGUGAUUUUCUUAACUUACAUUAUUUUUAUAGUUGUACCCAUUUUUUUUAUUGCUUCUUUCUAAUCUUAUACAUAAUAUUAAAUCAUUUUAUUGUUACUUCAAAUUUGGUAAAUAAUUUUAUACUGUAUAAUUAGUGAUAAAACUUUGUAACUGUUUAGUCGAUUUAUUCUUCACUCUCUCCCUUUAUAAAAAAACCAAAAAAAAUUUAGAAGCAAUUAACAAGAUUUAAUAAGAUAAUAAAAGUAUCAUCCUUUUGUUUUUGGUUAUUCAAAUUUUACAGAUAAGAGAAUCAAACCAUAUGACUUACACAAAUUUCAGAUUUCAUAAGCAGGCCUAAAUAAUUAUAUUAAAAGUUAUAUUUUUUAAAACUAAUAUCUUAGACAACAAGUGUGCAUGUUGCUAAAACCUAAUUAUGGAUUUUUAAAUUCAAAGAGUGUUUACGAAAGUUAUAACUUAUUAGCGAUAAUUGGAGCAUUUAAAAGCACAAUUAUGAAAAGGCUAAGACUGGUAUUUGCUUGUUAUUGUUGUAGACCAGUUUAGUGAAAGUUAUUUUAAAGGGUAGUUUUGAAAAUUUGCUGUGUUUGGAGGGGCAUUUAGGAUAGCUCAAUUUUUAUAUUAAAUGUUUCCUAUAUUCAGAGGAAAAUUUGGAAUAUUUUAAUUUUUAUAGGGACUGUAUUUUUAGAUGGACAUACAGAAAAAUUUUCCUAUUUAAGGGAUGGGGUCACUCACUCAUCAGAUUUCCACCUGCUGGAUGAGUGGGAUGUACAAUAUUGAUAUUUUUCGAAAUUGAUAAAUGUUAUUAGUUAAUAAGAUAUAAAUUUAAAGGGCUUUUUUUUUGCAAAUAGUCCCCUGACAAAUUUUAUUUGCAAAAAUAGCCCUGUUCAAAAAUUAUUUGCAAAAAUGGCCCUGCUCCUGCCACGCCAACGCCACGUCAGCGCCACGCGGGCAGGACGGGCCCAGAUGUUUAAGUUGAACACGGUGAACCAUUCACCGUGUUCAAUACAAGAUUUUUGUAUUGGACACGGUGAAUGGUUCACCGUGUCCAAUACAAAUGCCCCAACAAUGACUAAGUUAGAGGUAUUUGUAUUAGACACGGUGAACCAUUCACCGUGUCUAAUUAUUUGUAUUGGACACGGUGAAUGAUUCACCGUAUCCAAUACAAAUAUUUCGAUCUUAGCUAUUUUGUAUUGGACACGGUGAAUCAUUCACCGUGUCCAAUACAAAAACUUUGUAUUGAACACGGUGAAUGGUUCACCGUGUCCAAUACAAAAACUUUGUAUUGAACACGGUGAAUGGUUCACCGUGUUCAACUUAACCAUCUGGCCCAGCCCCGCCCGCGUGGCGCUGACGUGGUGCUUGCGUGGCGGGGCCAGGGCCAUUUUUGUAAAUAAAUUUUUGACAGGGCCAAAUUUAAAAUUUUUUUUUGUAAGGGGGCUAUUUGCAAAAAAAGCCCAAAUUUAAAUUAACUUAAUAACUAGUUAAUGGCAUAACAAAUUUAUAAAUUUUUUUCUAAAAACUUUAAAUAACAAAAUAAAUUAAAUACUAAAAUUAAACCAUCGCUGCUAAGAAAGUAAGAAUAAAGUAGGCUAUCAUAUCUAACGAAUUUAUAGCUAAUAAAGAGUUUGAUGAUUGACAUGUGCAAAUUCAAGUUAGAUGUAGGAAUGUCAAUGGGGGUCGGAUUCGAAGCGAAUUUUUAAAAAUCCGAAUCCAAAUCCGACGAAUUUUAAAAUUCAUAUCCAAAUCCGAACCCGACCAAAAAACUAAAACCUGAAUUCAAAUCCGAACCGAAAUAAUUAUUUCUCUUUUGCAAUAUUUCAAAAUAUAUUAUGUUAAAUUUAAAUUCUUAAAAUGCAAAUUUAAAUAUAAUAUUAAAUUUUUAUUUACAUAUUAUAUAUAAUGUAAAAUAAAUUCUGAUUCGGGUUGAAUUCGAAUUCGGAUCGGAUACAUUCAAAAUUCAUAUUUGUCGGAUCGUUGGCGCUAACCAUUAAUCCCAAAAGCUUGAGCUGUUAGAAAUACGCAACCAAUUCACUUAAAGCGUACAGAAACAACGCCCACGGGUCUCGAUUGUGACUCGGCCCACCUGGCCUCACGCCGCUUCGAACGUGACUCGGCCCAACCCAGCCUCAUGGCAUUUCGAACAUGACUCGGCCCACAUGGCCUUACGCCACUUCGAACAUGACUCCCGUCACAGAGCAAGAUGCUGACCCAUUUAAGCCAACAAUAUUCGUAUUCAUAUUUGUGGGAUAUUUGUACUUGAUAUUCAAAUCCCAAAUUAAAUCUAUUAAGUACCGGAUAACUUCGCUUCGUUCCGAUUCGGUUCCCAUUCGGUUUGGAUAAAAUUUCGACCCUCUGUAUGUACCUGUCGACAUCCCUAGUUGGAAGUUUACUGAAAAUGACAAAAGCGAAACGAGACUGGGAGGCAAUGCUGCCAGCCAGGCACUGAAUGAGAAUGCUUCACUUCCACGGGAGGGAGGGAGGGAGGGAAGGAGGGAGGGCGAGGGAGAUUCAGGUAGUCUUCGCAAACCUAAAAUUCAUCUUCUCUAUAAUUUGCAGCUGCUGCGCUCAGUUCGCUCGCCUCCCAAUGGCGAAGAAAACCAUCCGAUUGGGUCGGCUCGGAUCCUUGCGGAGACAUUUGGAUCGGAAUCAACUGCACCGACUCCCGGAUCGUCUCAAUGUGAGCGCCCUCUCUCUCUCUCUCUCUCUCUCUCUCUCUUCUCCUCUCCUUCUUCUCUCUAUUAUAUAUAUAUAUAUAUAUAUAUAUGCUAGGAAAACCCUUUUAUAAUUAAUUUUUAGCUUUCUUUCUCUUUUUUUUUUUGUUUGGGCAGAAAAAUUGUCGAGCAUGGGACUGAGCGGAACACUUUCAGACGACAUUCAGUAUAUAGAGGAAUUACAAGACUUUGUAAGCGUCAGUCUAGUAUAUGCUGCUUAAUUUGGUCAUGCUUCUUGUGAACCUGUAAUUCAUGAAACACAUCCUAACAAGCGAACACCUAUUCCUAUAUACUAGAGUUCCUAGGAAUUUUGUAGUCUUGUUAGAACUCAGUCUUUAGGUUGGAAAUCUUACAUCUUAAAUGUUGAAGGUUGGGGAUCCAACCUACGACCUCACGGAAGGAGUUUAGAAUUGGAUAUAAUAUCAUAGAAACCUAAGAGGUCGAUCUUUUAGGCAACAAUACCAUGUAUCCUAAGUCAUCGUGCAAGAUGAAUUGUCUAGGAAUAUGUAUAUAUAUAUUAACACCUUUAUUCACGUGCAUGAUGAAUAUCAAAGACACGUGGAAUUAAUAGGUAAGGUAAGAUAUGUUGGGGAAUAUGAGUAGAGAUCAAGUAAAUUAUGGUCUUGAGGUGUGUAAGUUCACUUUCUUUAAGGUGAUAUUUGCCUCCACUCAAAUGGAUGUUGCUAGGUUACCAGCAAAUCACUUCCAGAAUACAACAAGGCCGCCGAAAGACUGCAAACAACGCUUUUGAAGACUUUCCCUCAAAAGCUUCUCUUAAGAAUCAAUAUUUAGGAAGGAGAAAGAAUUGAUUACACUACCCUUGAAACCUUCAAACAUCUCCUAUUUAUAGGAGAUGAAUGAUUACGAUGAAAGGAUACAACUUUUAAAGUUAUAUCUUUUAUUAAAAGACACAUCCGUUCACAAAUAGUGAAAAGGCAUAUCUCUUCACAAAUGAAAAAACAUAUAUAUUCUUUCACAAAGGGUUCAUCUUUUUGUGAAGAAGCGUGUCUCUUUUUAAAGAGAUAUAUCUCUUUGCAUCAAAUGAAAGGACACGUCUUUCAUAAGAAUAACUAAUUCACCAAAGAGACAAACCAUUCAAUUAAUUUUAGUUUUGAUUCUUCAAGUCAUUUUCUCACAUCCAUUAUUACAAUAUACACUAACAAGGUAUCGAGAUUUAACCUAUCAUAUAAUUCAAAAUUUAACCUGUUGAAUGUUGAAGGUGGGGAUCGAACCCACAACCACACAAUACGAAAAGGUUUAGAAUUGACUUUGAUACCUUGUAACCUAAAAGAUCAAUCUUUUGGUAACAAUACCAUAUAACCAAAAUGAUCGAUCUUUUGGGAUACAUGGUAUCAAAGCCAAUUCUAAAUUUCUUCAUUUUGUGAGGUCAUGGGUUCGAUUCCCACCUUCGACAUUUAACAGGUUAAAUCAAGUUAAUUAUGAUAGGAUAAAUUCCCAUCUCUUAUCUCAUAUAUCAAUCGCACGUGUCUUUCAUAUCCAUAAUGCACAUGAAUGAACGUCCUAAAGUAUAUUCCUAGGCUUAUAUAUCUGGGCCGUUUCCUACUAGAUCGAUCUGUUGGGUAAUAUAGAUAAAAAUAUAUCUUCCGAGUAUAGUCAAUUUAGCUAUUUUACUAUUCAACUAAGCUUAGGUUAAGAGUAUAUAUUAGCACUCUGAUUCACGUGCAUGAUGGAUAUGUAAGACACGUAGAAUCGAUUGGUUAGAUAAGAGAUCGAGAUUUAACCUAUCAUAUAAUACCGAAAUUUAACCAGUUAAAUAUUGAAGGUAGAGAUCUAACCCAUAACCUUACAGAAUGAAGGGGUUUAGAAUUGGCUCUGAUAAUACGUAACCUAAAAGAUUGAUCUUUUGGGUAACAAUACCAAGUGACCUUAAUAAUCGAUCUUUUGCGGUAAUAUGGCAUCAAAGCCAAUUUUAAAUCCCUUUAUUCUGUGAGGUUGUUGGUUCGAUCCUCACCUUUGACAUUUAACAGGUUAAAUAUGAUGGGUUAAAUCCCCAUCUUUUAUUUUAUCUAUCGAUUCCAUGUGUAUUUCAUAUCCAUCAUACAAAUAAAUUGGGGUGCUAAUGUAUAUUUCUAGGCCUAUAUUUCUGGGCCCUUUUCGAUUAGAUCAAUUUUCUCAGUAACAAAAGGUAAAAAUAUAUCUUCGAAGCAUAGUUAGAUGAGGUAAGAGUUGGAGGUUUAAUCCAUCGCAUAAUACGAAAAGCUAAUCUCUUAAAUGUUGAAAGUGGGGAUCGAACCUAUGAUCUCACAGAGUGAGAGUUUAGAAUUGGUUCUGAUAGUAUGUAAUCUAAGGGAUGGAUCUGAUGGAUAACAAUAUAAUGUAACCUAAAUGAUCAUGCAUGAAAAAUUGGCCAGGAAUAUAUAUUAACACUCUUAUUCACGUGUAUGAUGAAUAUGGAUAACAUGUGGAAUCGAUAGAUGAGGUAAGAGAUUGAGAUUUAACUCAUUACAUAAUACGGAAAUAUAACCUGUUAAAUAUUGAAGGGCGGGGGGGGGAGGGUGGGAGGUAGUGGGGCCAGGAAUAUAUAUUAACACCCCUAAUUCAUGUGCGUGAUGAAUAUAAAAGAUACGUGAAAUCGAUAGAUGAGGUAAGAGAUGGACAUUUAACCUAUCAUAUAACACGAAAAUUUAACCUGUUAAAUAUUGAAUAUGGGGAUCGAAUCCACAAGUUCUCAGUAUGAAGGGAUUUAAAAUUGGCUCUGAUACCAUGUAACCUAAAAGAUCGAUCUUUUGGGCAACAAUGCCAUGUAAUCUAACAGUUCGAUCUUUUGGGUAAAAAUUUCAUGCAAACUAAAUGAUCGAUCUUUAAGGGUAAUAUAGUAGAACAACUAAUUCUAAAUCUUUUCAUUCUUUGAGAUCAUGGAUUCGAUUCCUACCUUCAAAAUUUAACAGGUUAAAUAUGAUAGGUUAAAUCCUUUAUUUUACUUCGUCUAUCGAUUCUACGUUUUUUUUCAUAUUCAUCAUACACAUGAAUGGGGGUAUUAAUGUAUAUUCUUCGCACUAUAUUUCUAGGCUGUUUCCUACUAGAUAGAUCUUUUGGGUAACAUAGGUAAAAAUAUAUCUUUCGAGUAUAUUCAAUAUACCUAUUUUACAAUUCAACUAAGUUUAGAUUAAGAAUAUAUAUUAACACUGCCAUUCAUUUGCAUGAUGGAUGUGAACGACACAUGAGAUCGAUAAGUGAGGUAAGAGAUUGAGAUUUCACCUAUCAUAUAAUACAGAAAUCUAACCUGUUAAAUAUUGAAGGUUUUUGGGUGGGGUGGGGUAGUGGGGCUAAGAAUAUAUGUUAACACCCCUGAUUCAUGUGCAUGAUGAAUAUGAAAGGCACGUGAAAUUGAUAGAUGAGGUAAGAGAUGGAGAUUUAACCUAUCAUAUAACACGAAAAUUUAACCUAUUAAAUAUUGAAGGUGGGGAUCGAAUCCACGAGUCCACAGAAUGAAGGGGUUUAAAAUUGGCUCUGAUACUAUGUAGUCUAAAAGAUCGAUCUUUUGGACAACAAUACUAUGUAAUCUAACAGUGCGAUCUUUUGGUUAUAAAUUUUAUGCAAACUAAAUGAUUAAUCUUAAAGGGUAAUAUGGUAACACAACCAAUUAUGAAUCUCUUCAUUCUUUGUGAUCGUAGAUUUGAUCCCUACCUUCAACAUUUAACAGGUUAAAUAUGAUGGAUUAAAUCUCUUAUUUUACCUCAUCUAUUGAUUCCACGUCUUUUUCAUAUUCGUCAUACAUAUGAAUGGGGGUGUUAAUGUGUGUUCUUCACAUUAUAAUUCUAGGUCGUUUCCUGCUAGAUAAAUCUUUUGGGUAACAUAGGUAAAAAUAUAUCUUUUGGGAAUGUCAAUAUAGCUAUUUUACAAUUCAACUAAGUUUAGGUUAAGAAUAUAUAUUAACACCACCAUUCAUUUGCAUGAUGGAUAUGAACGAUACAUGGAAUCGAUAGGUGAGGUAAGAGUUGAAGAUUUGACCUAUCAUAUAAUACAUAAAUCUAACCUGAUAAAUGUUGAUGGUGGGGAUCGAACUUACGACCUCACAGAAUAAAGGAGUUUAGAAUUGGUUUUGAUACCUAGUAACCUAAAAGAUCAUUUUUUAGGUAACAAUUCUAUGUAACCUAAAUGAUCAUGCAUGAUGAAAUAGCUAGAAAUAUAUAUAAACAUUCUUAUUGACAUGCAUGAGGAAUAUGAAAGACACGUGAAAUUAAUAGGUGAGGUAAUAGAUGGAAAUUUAACCCAUCAUAUAAUAUAAAAAUUUAACAUAUUAAAUGUUGAAGGUAGAGGGAAUAGGGGGUGGAUUCAUUGGAAUUGAUGGUGAGGUAAAAGAUCGAGAUUUUACCCAUCAUAUAAUACCAAAAUUUGGCGUGUUAAAUAUUAAAGGUGGGGAUCGAAGCCAUGACCUCACAGAACAAAAGGGUUUAAAAUGGCUCUGAUACUAUGUAAACUAAAAGAUUGAUCUUUUUCGUAACAAUACAAUGUAACCUAAAUGAUCAAUCUUUUAGGGUAAUAUGGUAUCGAAGCCAAUUCUAAAUCCUUUCAUUCUGUGAGGUCGUAUGUUCGAUCCCCACUUUCAACAUUUAUCAGGUUAAAUAUGAUGGAUUAAAUCCCCAUCUCUUACCUCAUCUAUUAAGUACACGUGUCUUUAAUAUCUAUCAUGUGCAUGUAUUGGGGUGUUAAUUAUAUUCCUUGGCCUAUAUUUCUUGGCUGUUUCCUACCAGAUUGAUCUUUUGGAUAACAUAGAUAAAAUAUAUCUAUUGAGCAUAGUCCAUUUAGCUAUUUUACUAUUCAACUAAGCUUAGGUUAAGAAUAUAUAUUUGCGCCCAUGAUUCACAUGUAUGAUGGAUAUGAAAGACAUAUGAAAUCGAUUUGUGAGGUAAGAAUUGGAGAUUUAACCUAUCAUAUAGUAUGGAAAGCUAGCUUGUUAAAUGUUGAAUGUGGGGAUCGAACCUAUGACCUUAUAGAAUAGAGGAGUUUAGAAUUGUCUCUGAUUCCAUGUAACCUAAAAAAUUGAUCUUUUUGGUAUCAAUACCAUGUAACCUAAAUGAUCAUGCAUGAAGAACUAGCUAGGAAUAUAUAUAUAUAUAUAUAUGUAUAUAUAUAUAUAUAUAUGUAUAUAUAUAUAUAUAUAUGUAUAUUCAGGCCUGGAAUAGCUAUCAUACACACCAAUACAGUUGGUUGCUUAUUAGUUUUUUAGCCUUUGAUUGAAAAACUUGCGCUUAGGAGAUUGGCCCCUAGGAUUGAAGUGGGUGUUGGUUGGGUUGAUAUAUAUAACUCAUAACGGUAAAAAAUAAUAUAGGGUUUAAAUCUACUUAACGGUGAAAUCUGCGAUAAAACCCAACCUUUGUGCUAUCGAUAGUAUCCCUGGCUGGACUCAUAUAUAAUAUAUAUUAUAGUUAAUAUAUUAUUUUAUUAAUUAUAUAAUACUAUAAGACUUCCAUUCACAUGCGUAAUGAAUGUAAAAACCACGUGGAUCGAUUGGUGAGGUAGGAUAUGAAGAUUUAACCCUUAAUAUAGUACAAAAAAUUAAUCUAUUAAAUAUUAAAGGUAGGGGGUAGGGGGCCAAAAAUUUAUAUUAACACCCCUAAUAUAUGUGCAUGAUGAAUAUGAAAGAUAUGUGGAAUCGAUGAGUAAGGUAAGAGAUGGAGAUUUAACCCAUCAUAUAAUAUGAAAAUUUAACCUGUUAAAUACUUAAGGUGAGGAUCAAACCUACGAUCUCACAAAAUGAAGGGGUUUAGAAUUGGCUUUGAUACACCAUGUAACCUAAGAGAUUGAUCUUUUGGGUAACAAUACUAUGAAACCUACAAGAUCGAUUAUUUGGGUAAUAAUACCAUGUAAACAUAAAUGAUCGAUCUUUUGGGUAACAUGGUAUCAGAGUCAAUUCUAAUCCCUUCAUUCUUUGAGGUCGCGGUUUGGAUCCCCACGUUUAACAUUUAAUUGGUUAAAUAUGAUGGGUUAAAUUCUCAUCUUUUACCUCAUCGAUCAAUUUCACGUGUCUUUCAUAUACAUCAUGCAUAUGAAUAAGGGUGUUGAUGUAUAUUCUUGGUCCUAUAUUUCUUGGCAUUUUCCUAGUAGAUCAAUCUUUUGGGUAACAUAGGUAAAGAUAUAUCUUCUGAGUAUAGUCAAUUUAGCUAUUUUACAAUUCAACUAAGCUUAAGUUAAGAAUAUAUAUUAACACUCCCAUUCACCUGCACGAUGGAUAUGAAGACAUGUGGAAUCGAUUGAUGAGGUAAGAGUUAGAGAUUUAACCAAUUAUAUAAUAAGGAAAUCUAACCUAUUAAAUGUUGAAGGUGGGGAUCGAACUUACGACCUUAUUGAACGAAGGAGUUUAUAAUUGACUCUCAUAUCCUAUAACCUAGAAGAUCGAUCUUUUAGGUAACAAUACUAUAUAAUCUAAAUGAUCGACAUAAUAAACUGGCCAGAUAUAUAUAUAAACAACCUCAUUUUUGUUCAUGAUGAAUAUAAAAGACACGUGAAAUCGAUAGGUGAGGUAAGAGAUGGAGAUUUAACCUAUUAUAUAAUAUAGAAUUUUAACCUAUUCAGAAUGAAGGAGUUUAGAAUUGGCUCUGAUACCAUGUUACUUAAAAAAUCGAUUUUUGGGUAACAAUACCAUCAAUCAUUUGGUGGUAACAUGCUAUUAGAGCCUACUUUAAAUGAGGUCCUGGGUUCGAUCCCCUCCUUCAACAUUUAAAAGGUUAAAUAUAAUGGGUUAAAUCUCCACCUCUUACCUUAUCUAUCGAUUUCAUGUGCUUGUUAUAUCUAUCAUGCACGUGAGUGGGGGAGUUAAUGUAUAUCCUUGAGCCUAUAUUCCUUGAUCAUUUCCUGCUAGAUCAAUCUUUUGGGUAACAUAGGUAAAAAUGUAUCUUCCUUGUAUAGUCAAUUUGCUAAUUUACUAUUCAAGCACAUUGAAAUGAUUUUUUAUCUUUAUAAAAACAACAAAACUGAAUCGAAUUCAAUUCAACACUUUAUGUCAAUUGAAAAAAAUUCACUUGUAACUGCAAUCAAUUUUACUGAAAUCAAUUGAAUUCUAUUCGGAUUUGAUUAAGGCAGGCUUGUAUGAUAGCCAAUAGUCCUAUAUUGAGUAGUAAAGUGAAUGUGUUUGGGUAUAUUAGUACUAGGCACUAUAUUAUUUAUAACUUGGACUUAACAGUUUGGAACGGUGGUCUGAGCCUAACAAGUUGCUAGUGAUAGUCCUAGGUCAUUAUAGCUAAUUUCUUGUGAAUGUCUCUGUAAUACUUUUUUGUCACUAUAAAUGCUCACAUGAUGCCAUGACCAGGGACUAGUCUUACAACAAGGGUUUGAGUGGCGGGCUUCAUGCAUCAAUUGGGAGGUUGAGUAAACUUGAAAACUUGUAAGCAAUUCAAGAUAGUUUCUAUUUCUAUAAUUAAGUAUAAAUUUUCUGCUGCUUCAGAACCCAGAACUGAUGCCAUUGUGUUUGUUCUUUAUUCAGGCUUCUUACUGGCUGCAGCUUUUCUGGUGAAAUUCCACCGGAAAUAGGCUUACUAUCCAGGCUAGUCUAUCUGUAAGAUAUUUGAACUCCUGAAUUUUCUUUCUUCUGUUACCUGAUUUACUGACUACGUAUAGAAAAUUACAUAUUUUUAUGCUGAGAAGUCUUAGCUGCCUAAAUUAUCCGAAAGUUAGAGAAAAUAUAAAGGUUCGAUUGUACGUAGACUGCCUCAACUUUAGGCCACUUUAAAGAAUCAGUCUUUCGCCCAACCCAACAAAGUCUUCUCUUUCUUGACCAGUCCAUGCAGACUCUCACCAGAGCAACUUUUGUACGUAAGCUAGGCUCCUCCCUCUAAAAUUGAUUCAAGUAAUUCCCCCAGACUUCGGAUUUUCUGAUUGAUACCUCCUUAACUAAUAUUAAUUUUUUAAUCUAAACUAAAAUUUGGUAACGUUGUUAGAAAUUAACUCCUCUGCCGUCUCUUCUACAUUCAUCAUGUUCCUGUUGCGCAGCGUGGCUCCGGCUCUCAGUGGAUGCAGCGAGCACGAGGGCCAGUGGUAGUGGUGUUGUGGGAGCAGAGAUAGGUGCUGGGAGAGGUUGAGAUUGAGGGGAAAAUAGACUUUGGUACAUCUACGAUGAUGUGUUAACUUCACUGACGAAACAACGAAAAGGAAUUUAACGUACAACCACCGAUAGUAUAGGAGUUGUCAAUCAAAAAAUUGAAAGCCCGAGAGGAUAUUUCAGAGCGGCCUACAGUUAACGAUACAUUUUUAACGAAAGAUAAGUCUUUUUUUUUUGCAUUCAAAAGAAUAAAUCGAACCGUUAGCAUCAGAGAAUGCAGUCUAAUGCACCUAAAGUACAAUAUGGCGGAGUGUUGUAGCACUUAUCCAAUCCUAUGUAAACACUUAAAUGUAUUCGUGAUAAGAAUAUAUUAUGGAGCUUUUUCAAUGGUGAAGCCUAAAACACUAACACCUAAAUCAACAAUUCUACCCAUCAAAUAGUCUUAUAGGCUUAAAAGGAAAAGCCCCUUCUUUCUAAACUUCAAAUUAUAAGUGACCUUGUAUCCUUCUGAAAAUGUUUUCGUGAUGAUAACUUUCUUGGCAUACUUGAUGAGUAUGUAAUUUUGUGCUCGUUAUGUCUUGUAAAGAAAUGUUGUGAUUCUUGAAGUCUAAUGGACAUCUGUCAUCACCAAUAUCUGUCAUCACCAAUUUUUUUCUUCUUUCUUUUCUUGAUUCUCUUCAGCUUUUGCAUCCUGCAGAUUUAAAGUUUUGGGCCAGUCUGUUGUAACAACAUGUUGUUUAAACAAUCUCCACGUGUCUGCAGAUCUUUGGACUAUAAGGGUGCGUUUGGUUCGCAUUAUAAAAGAUUACUAGGAAUAAAAGAUAUCCGAGAAUCUUAUUAUUAUUCAUCCUAUUACUAAGAAUGUGGAAUUCCUGUGUUUGGUUCACAUAGUAAUAUUAAUUAGCCUUGUUAUUUAAUAUUACAAAAAUUAUACAAUUAAUUAAUUUAUUUAUUUAAUUAAUUUUAGAUAAUGUUACUAAAAGUUUCAACAUCUUUUUAGAAAAAAGGGAGAGAGAGUAUAAGUUAGAGAGAGAGAGCACAAUUAAAAAAAUAGGAAGAAAAAUAUAGUCGAAAUUAAAGGGAGUGAGAGAGUUGAAAUUUUAGAAAGAGAGAGAGAGAAAGCUUAGUUUAGAGAGAGAAAAAAAAAAGUUAAAUUUUAGAGAGAAAUAAAUUUAGAGAGAGAUAUAAGAUUAGAGUAUAAAGAAAAAUAAUAUCAAUUAGCCGGCGGGUAGGAAGAAAGAAAGAGAUUAGAUAUAUUAUGAUUACCCCAAUCCAUUAAUAUGAGGAUACCCACCCUCCUCAAGGGAAUGAGAUUAGUACUUUGGGGUGAAUCUUAUUCCCAAGUGAAUCCAAUAUUACCAACUAGAUUACUUAGUGCGUUUAGCCAAACACCGUCAUAUUUUUUUAUUCCCAUUAGAUUACUAGGAAUCUUUAAAAGAUAGCGCGAACCAUACGCACCCUAAUAGCUUUACU
RNAcentral lists this long non-coding RNA (47065 nucleotides) under Ananas comosus (pineapple). The record is from RNAcentral. Lineage: Eukaryota; Viridiplantae; Streptophyta; Magnoliopsida; Poales; Bromeliaceae.